UUUAAGUAACUUCAGCCCAUUGGAAAUUAACUGUUCAAGAAAUCUGUGGCAUGAGUGCAGUGCAUCUCUCUCUCUCCCGUUUGUCUCCCGUGUGUGUGCACAGUACGUUGCUGAGAGAAGCCGUGAUCUUGAGCUAAGGAAACGAAAGCGGAAUUCAGAAGCUAGACAAAAGUAGCAGCAACUCUGUUGAAGCUCCAUAACAAGCUGCAAGCUCGGAUUCAUGGGAGAUCGUGGUAAAUUUCGAAAUUUACUGAAAUAUGUGUUUAAUUUGGAAAUGCACGAUUAAAGGGCAUAAAGUGUGUUUUUGUUUCAUCAAUUGGUAUCAGAGCCCAUGGUUAUGCGUUUCCUUGUAAACCAUAGUUGUUUUGUUGAAGAAAUCUCACUCAUGGAAUUUUUUUUAUUAUUUUCGGAUUUUUCGAAUUCUUCGAAUUUGGACAUAUUUCCUCAAACGGUUGUUAAAUAAUGCAUGAGUGAUGAUUUUGGAGCAAAGAUAUAAUUUUUUCGUGUUUUUUGGUGGCCAAAAUCGGGUUGGUAUGGAUGUGGAUGCUGUAAAUGUACUGUACAAUACUGUAGCAACAGCCCGAGGUUGAAGAUGAUGGGACAAUUUCAUUUGGAUCCCUAAAUUUUGUGAAUUAUCACUAUGGCCCAAAAUCUUUGCAAAAUUUUCGAAAUGGUCCUUGACCGAGGGUCAACUUUGUAAAAGAUCAGUUUGAUCCCUUAAAGUUUGGUAAAUUAUAUUAUGACCCAAUAUUUUAUUUUAUUUUAUUUAAAGCUGGGCCAAAAGUUUUAAUAUUUAAAACAGUAAGCAUAAUUCUGAAAAUUCGGUAGUUUAGUCCAAAAUCCUUUAAAUUUUGGCGAUUUUUUCAGAAUUUUAAAUUUAAGAAUAAUCCAUCAUUGUUGAAUUGUAUGGGCAUAAUAUUCAUAUAUUUUAUUGAGGCAUGUAGAUAUUUUAUUUGAUUGAAUAUCUUGGUGGAAACUUUAAUUACGUUUUGACAAAGUUUAUUUAGCCUCAAUUUUGUUAAUAUACGAAAUAUAUAUAUGAUGCAAAACUACAAUUUAGAGUGAUUGUGUAUCUGCUUAUCGUAGGACCAAUCAUGAUAAAUUAUUUGGUGUUUUGCAAUUGGUUGUCCAUUUAUAAUUAUGAAUUAUGGAUUAUGUGAUGGAUUGUUAUUGUUUUGACCAAGAUCCAUACGGGUGAUGAUACUGCCCUGUCGGCAAAUCACUACUUGGUAGGAUGCUUGGGAAGAUAAAGAGGUUUGUUGAGUAUUUUCUACUGAGUGGCUUGAUUACCCUGUCGGUAAUAGGUCAAUGUUGGUGUUAUAUUCAACUUGUCUGCUUUAUCUUUAGGUUAGUGCAUUCCUAUAUUGUUAAAGGAUGCCUAACAUAUUGUGUUGCUAUUGGAGAAACUUAGAAUGAGGAGCAAUUGAUUAUAGCAUGAUUUUAAUUUUUGCAUGCUUGAUAAUUCUUUUGUUAUUGCUUCCUCAGCUCUAGAUAUUCUCUCAUUUCUCCAAGUAGCUUUCCUCAAGAAUUUAACUGGGACAAAUUUUGAGGAAUGACGUGAGUCCAUUUUGUUUUAUUUGUCUACACUGAAUAGAGACUUGGCAUUAAGAGUUGAUGAACCAGCCAAGCCCACAGAUAAGAGCACUGCUGCUGAAAAAGCAGAGUGGGCAGCUUGGGAUGAAUCCAAUAGACACUGUCUGGAUACAAUGAAAUACACCAUUGAUAGAACCACUAGAGAUAGCAUCCCUGCAUGUGAUAAGGCCAAAGAUUACUUGGCAGCUGUGGGAAGAACCUUUAAGAAGGUAGAUAAGGCAGAAAAGGGUAACUAUCUGAGGCUGCUUGCUAAUACCCAGUAUGAUGGUGUUUCUGGGGUCAGAGAACACAUCCUUAAGAUGACUAGUUACCAUAAGAAGCUGAAGGACAUGGAUGUCACUUUGCCUGAUGACUACCUGGUCUUCCAAAUCCUUGAAUCUCUUCCACCACAAUUUGGCAAUUUGAGAAGCCAAUACAAUACUCAGAGAGACACUUGGAAUAUCACUGAGUUGACUGCUUAUGUGGUUCAGGAAGAGGAAUCAUUGAAGAAGGGGAAAUCUCACACUGUCAUGGUGGCAACUACUCAAGAGAGUGGAAGUGUGAAGAAAGGCUCUUCAAAGGGCAGCAAUAAGUUUUUUAAGAAGAAAAAGUUUGGCAAGAAAACUUCACGUGGUAAUUCUUCUACCACUUUUGGUUCCACUGCUGAGAGCUUUAAGGGAAAGUGCCACUUUUGUAAGAAACCUGGGCACAAGAGAGCUGAAUGCAGGGGUUCAAAGCAUGGUUGGAAAAGAAAGGUAUUCAUGUAGCUUUUGUAGGCUUUGAAUCUAAUCUAGUUAAUGUUCCUUCUGAUACUUGGUGGUUGGAUACUGGUGCAACCAUUAAUAUAACGAAUUCCUUACAGGAAUUCAGAAGCAGGAGGGAGCCCAAUGAAGGGGAGUUGAUAGUUCACAUGGGUAAUGGAGUGACAGCCAAAGUUGAAAGCAUAGGAGUUGUCAGACUACAUCUAGCCACAGGCCAUGUUUUGGAUCUAUUAGAUACAGCUUAUAUUCCUUCUAUUAGGAGAAACUUGAUAUCUGUAUCUAUUUUGGAUAGAUGUGGCUAUACUUUUCAUUUUGGUGAUAGAAAAGUUUACUUAUUCCGCAAUUCAGAGUUAGUUGGUUCUGGCACUCUAUAUGAUGGCUUGUAUAUGAUUGAUUUAUUUUCUCGUGCUGUUGAAUCAUCAUCCAAUGCUCAUGUUAUGCAUGUUGUUAGCUCUAAUCGUGUCAGGGUUGAUGAAAAUUCCUCUAUGUUGUGGCAUAAACGGUUAGGUCACAUUUCUAAACAGAGGAUGGAGAGGCUUAUUAAAGAUAACAUUCUACAUAAGUUGGAUUUCUCUGAUUUUGGCACUUGUGUUGAUUGUGUCAAAGGCAAACUUACUGCCAAAACCAGAAAAGAGAGAACUCAGAGGAGUCAACAGGUGCUGGAGUUGGUACAUACAGACAUUUGUGGGCCAUUUACUCCUAUUGCCAUUGGAGGUUAUAAGUACUUCAUCACGUUCAUCGAUGAAUUUUCUCGUUAUGGUCAUGUUGAACUUCUUGCUGAAAAGUCUGAAUCCUUAUCUGUGUUUCAAGCCUUUAAGGCUAAUGUUGAGCUCCAAAAGGGCAAGCAAAUUAAAGCAGUAAGGUCAGACAGAGGUGGUGAGUACUAUGGGCGAUAUGAUGAAACUGGGCGUAAUCCUGGACCUUUUGCUAAAUUUCUUCAGGAAUGUGGAAUAGAAGCCCAGUAUACAAUGCCCGGGACUCCUGAACAGAAUGGAAUUGCAGAAAGGAGAAAUCGUACCCUUCUUGACAUGGUGCGGUGUAUGCUGAGUAACUCCACCUUACCAGAUUUUCUGUGGGGUGAAGCCUUAAGAACUGCAGCUUACAUUUUGAAUCAGGUACCUAGUAAAUCGGUGCUCAAAACUCCUUAUGAGUUGUGGUCAGGAAAGAGACCGAGUCUUCGUCAUUUUCAUGUCUGGGGAUGCAGAGCAGAAGUGAGGCCCUAUAAUCCACAAUCAAGGAAACUUGAUCCGAAAACAAUUAGUGGUCAUUUUAUUGGCUAUUGUAUCGGCUCAAGGGGUUCUAGAUUUUAUUGUCCUUCCCACACUACUAGAAUCAUUGAGUCUGAUCGUGCUAUUUAUUUUGAGGAUGAUCACAAUGGUGGGAGUUCUGAGCCUCGCAGUCUGACAUUGAGAGAAGAACGUGUGGUUUUGCCUAUUCCAUCUUUUCCGACUUCUGCGAUGGGAUUACCACAUAUUGAUGAUUCUUCUGUUGAUCCUGAACUUCAUCAUAAUAUGGAGCCUAUGAUUGUAGAGGAUGAUGGUACUGAUGUGCCAUUGAGGAGAUCAGAGAGGAUCAGGAGACCUGCAAUUUCUGAUGAUUAUGUUGUUUACCUGCAGGAGCAUGAUUUUGAUGCUGACUCUUCAUUUGAUCCUAUUACCUUUCAAGAGGCCAUCAGUUGUUCAGAAUCAUCAUCUUGGAUACAUGCGAUGCAUGAUGAGAUGGCAUCUAUGUAUCAUAAUGGGGUUUGGGAUUUAGUUGAGUUACCAGAUGGAUGCAGACCAAUUGGUUGCAAAUGGGUUUUCAAAACCAAAAGAGAUGCCAGAGGUCAGGUAGAGAGGUAUAAGGCCAGGCUUGUGGCUAAGGGUUUCAGUCAAAGAGAAGGCAUUGAUUACACUGAAACCUACUCUCCUGUUUCUACCAAAGACUCUUUUCGUAUUAUCAUGGCAUUGGUAGCUCAUUUCAAUUUAGAAUUGCAUCAGAUGGAUGUGAAGACAGCUUUUCUUAAUGGGAGCUUGUCUGAAGAUGUAUACAUGGUGCAACCUGAUGGUUUUGUUGAGUCUGGUAGAGAAAACAUGGUGUGUAAGCUUAAAAGGUCCAUUUAUGGACUUAAGCAAGCAUCCAGACAGUGGUAUUUGAAAUUUCACGAUAUUGUCACCUCUUAUGGGUUCCAGGAGAAUGCCGUUGAUCAGUGUAUAUAUUUGAGAGUCAGUGGGAGCAAGUAUAUCAUUUUGGUGCUUUAUGUGGAUGAUAUCUUGCUCGCUGCUAAUGACACUAAUUUGUUACUUGAGACAAAGCAAAUGUUGUCAUGCAGCUUUGAUAUGAAGGAUCUUGGUGAAGCCCAUUAUGUAUUAGGGAUAGAGAUUCUUCGUGAUAGAUCUAGAGGAAUUCUAGGUUUGUCUCAAAAGACUUACAUUGAUCGCAUUUUGAAAAGGUUCAAUUUGCAGUCUUGUGCUCCUGGGAAAGCUCCAAUUUCGAAAGGUGACAAAAUUUCCAAGUCUCAAUGUCCCGAUAAUGAUGUAGACAAAGCUAGAAUGCAAACAGUCCCGUAUGCAUCCGUUGUGGGUAGCUUGAUGUAUGCUCAAGUCUGUACUCGCCCUGAUAUUGCUUUUCCAGUGGGAGUACUUGGAAGAUACCUCAGCAAUCCUGGAUUUGAACACUGGAAGGCUGCAAAGAAAGUACUCAGAUAUUUGCGAGCCACUAAAGAUUUUGUAUUGACAUAUCAGCAAUCUGACUAUUUGAAUAUAGUUGGAUAUUCUGAUGCUGAUUUCGCAAGGUGCUUGGAAGACAAGAAAUCCACAUCUGGUUACAUCUUUAUGAUGGCAGGAGGAGCUAUAUCAUGAAAAAGUGUCAAGCAGACACUUAUAGCUUCUUCAACAAUGGAAGCAGAAUAUGUAGCCUGUUUUGAGGCUACACGUCAUGCUUUAUGGAUGCAGAAUUUUAUCACAGGGCUAGAUUGUAUAUUGGCCAUUCCGAGGCCAUUAAAGAUAUACUGUGAUAAUUCUGCGGCUGUUUCUUUUUCUCACAAUACAGGGAGUUCCUCACGUUCCAAGCACAUUGAUAUUAAAUAUUUGUUUGUGAGAGAGAAAAUUGCUCUAUCUUGUGUAUCAGUAGAGUAUAUCCCUACAGAGCUCAUGUUAGCCGAUCCACUUACUAAAGCUUUAGCUCCAAAAGUAUUUAGGGAGCAUGUAACGCAUAUGGGAUUAUUUGAAUCCACUUAUAUAUGCUGAGUCAGUGGGAGUUCUGGUUUGUAUUAUGAGUUGCAACUUAAAUGAGCUUAUGUAUUACUCAUUUUGUUAUCAUGCAUGCAUGUUGUUAUGUGAUAUUGAUAUGCCAUAUAUUGUGUACACAUUUGGCUGCGUAUGGCAUUAUGUAUAGAAUGAGGAUACGAUGGUCCGAGACAUUUUGCUCAGUCUCAAUAUGGACAUUAAAGACUGAAGCAUUAUGAUUUAGCUUCAGUGUGCUUUCUUGAGACAUUUUGAUUUAGUCUCAUUAUGAUUAAAAAGGAAGCUCGCUUCUCGAGACAUUUUGCUAUAGUCUCAUUAUGGUUAUAAAGAAGCGAUGGUCUAGGAGACAUAUUGUUUUUGUCUCAUUUUGCUAGACAUCUGGACUUUAUGGAAAUGAGCAUGUUGAUCACAUUGUCAUGUUAUUUCCAUAAUUAUACUUGUAUACUACUACAUGGUCACGUGUUUAUAAGUGUCUUGUUAUAUGGAGCAUCCUGUCGGUGCACAUAUGAUUUGAUAUUUAUGGCACAUUUUGGACUUGUUUAUGUUCUGGGUGAUUGCUUGUAUUUGACCUUUUGUUAUAGUCACAUAUUGAUUAAUUCAGUUGUUUUCAAAAUAUUAUUUUAUUUUAAAUUUAUCAUUAGAGUGAUUUCUGUCGUCCAAGUGGGAGAUUGUUAGAUUUAUUUCUCACAUUAUGUGGACUGACAUAAAUCAUUCUAAUUGUUUUCUAUAUUUUACCGAAUUAAUACGUGACUAUAGUCAAAUAUUAUGGAGCAAUUUUGACAUACCCCGUACAGUAGUAUAUUAUGGACAAGUAUAUCCUUAAUUGUGUUAUUUUCGCCCAUAAUGGGAUGGGCAAUUUUGUACUAACACAUGAGGGGUCCCUGCGCUCAACCACUGUAUUUAAGUAACUUCAGCCCAUUGGAAGUUAACUGUUCAAGAAAUCUGUGGCAUGAGUGCAGUGCAUCUCUCUCUCUCCCGUUUGUCUCCCGUGUGUGUGCACAGUACGUUGUUGAGAGAAGCCGUGAUCUUGAGCUAAGGAAACGAAAGCGGAAUUCAGAAGCUAGACAAAAGUAGCAGCAACUCUGUUGAAGCUCCAUAACAAGCUGCAAGCUCGGAUUCAUGGGAGAUCGUGGUAAAUUUCGAAAUUUACUGAAAUAUGUGUUUAAUUUGGAAAUGCACGAUUAAAGGGCAUAAAGUGUGUUUUUGUUUCAUCACUUGGGUCUUCCAUUGACGUAGGAUCUGGGGUGUGAAGUAAAUGGAUCCCACAUUUUUUCACCCCGCAGCACUGGCACUCCAAAGGUGGAAAAACAUUAAAGUGGACUGCCUCAAGAAUGCAAUUGCAUUUCCAAAAACCAUUAAAAUCCUCUUCACAGAACAGAUAGUGCCCCAAAUGUAAGUGAUAUGAUUCUACAUAAUUAACUCUGCUCUGAGAUAAUCGUGUGUCAUGCGUACCACAAUCUUUGGUGGUUUUCACUUUGAGCUCAAAAGAAAAUGAAAACCAUCUGCCACAAUCUACAUGACGGUCUGAAAAUGCUAAAAUAGCACUAAAUGCAAUGCCCUGCACUCUGCUAUUAUUGAAGAAAUCUGGCGGCAUCUCCAAGGUUAUAAAAGAUCCCACACUUUGAAACUCAAACCACUUUGGAAUUUCAUUCCCAGGUAGUACUAUAUGACCUUUGCCCAAGGAAAAACCUCUCUGUACCAAAAAAACAUAAUUUUAAACCCAAAAAAAAAACAAAGAUUGUAGAAAUUGUAAGUAGAGAGAGUUAAAGACACACAUUUAGCCAUAAUUCUUGCCAUAUUUCUUGCAAACGUAGAACUGGCGUAUGAUUCGUAUGCUGAAUUCUCAGGGUAUCUUCAACAAUUCCUGCAGUAGAAUUACCUUCCAAUUUAAAAUUAUUGCUCCGGUCAAAAAAAAUUGCCUGUAAGAUUCAUAACUUAGAGAACAAACCUAAAAAUGGUUGCAGUGCCAAGCAACCUCGUUCAAGGAAUGGAGACUUUUGUACGAAUUGGAACCUCUCACCAUAACUUAAGAGGAGGUAUCCCGACACGAAAAGUUGGAUAAUGCUUUCUGGUAUUCUCUCAAUAUUGGUUUUCGCUAGAUUAAAUGUUAUUGGCGAGGAUAAUUGGCCGAGACAUUCGGGCAAUCUCUGAAGAUUUGAGCAACCACAGAGAUUAAGAACUCCAAGAGAUUUCAAUCUAUAGAGGCUGCUUGGGAGAUUCUUAAGCCUUUUACAAUUUAAAAGGUCUAAGUAUCCGAGCCUAAGUAGACGCUCAAUUGAUGAGGGCAGUUCUUCAAUUGCAGUCCCCCUUAAAAAUAACCAGCUUAUAUUACCUGAUGAGAUCUCUGGAAGCCUUUUCAGUUUUGGGCAGCCCGAAAGAUCAAGUUUGGUAAGAAAUUCCAAGUUAAAUAUUCCAGAUGGAAGACUUUUCAGGCUUUUGCUACCUCUUAGAUUCAAGAUAACCAGCUUGUUCAGACGUGGCAUCAACGUGGGAUUUGGAAUUUUGGCAAUUAGCUUAUGGCAGGCAGCAUGGAUUAUCUGGUUUAACUUACUAUAAUGCUGCUCUGUCAAAAAAGAGGCCAAGACAAAAUCGUUACCACGUAUAAUAAUUUAAUGUUGUUAUUGAGAGAUUGCACAUAUAUAAUAAGAUAUGCAUACCUUCACACAAUCCCAAAGUUGUUCAAUGUCAUUAUCAGGCACUUCAAGUAACAUAAGCUUCUCUGCACUGAGGUUUGAGGGAAAUGACUUCAACGGAUAUCCAUGCCAGUGAAGAUAUUUCACUUCAGCAAAUCCAGGGUCUUGCAAAUAAGACAUCUUACAUUUGUUCUCUCCAUUGAAUAAUGAACUAUAGAACUUUAAAAAUCUCAAUUUAGGCAUCUUUGUGAAAGUAUUGGGAUUUAGACGGAGCUCUUUUACUUUUUACAUAUCCAAACAUAUGCCCUCAAUUUUUUCUGUCCCCUAAAAAUAAAUGAAAAAGCAAUAAAGUUAAAAUCAAAUGAAAGAUAUGUGUAUUCCACCAAUGAAUCGCCCUUCAACAAUACAUAGGGAUAAUUUUUGGGGCAAUUUUCUCACUAAUUCACAAUUAGAGGUAGCUUGUAGUUAUUGCUAGGCAGUUAAACUUUUAAUUGCAAAUGCACAAAGAAACAUAAUAACACAAGUAAUACUUAAUAUAAAAAUUCCGUCUGUGUACUAUACAAAUUGGCAUAUCAAUUAUGCUUGCAAACGAUUAUGCAAGUUGUCAUGGCAUUUAUAAUUUAUUGCUACGUCAUCUAACGGAUAUGGUUUUUUCUAAUCAUUGUCGCUCUUCUAUUAAUUCUAAGACUCAUCAGUUCGAGCAUAUAUAAAUAUAUUCAUAUCAAGUUUGUAAAUGCUAGAAUAUUUCAAAAUAAUUAUCCACAACAAACUGCUUACCGUGUUAUAUGUAAGAACUUCAUAGAUAUCCUCAUGAUGCCACAACCUACUGCGGUUUCCAGGAUUAAUUGAUUCUUGUCGAACAAUUUCCCUACCCAACUCUUGUAGUAAAUCAUGCAUUCUUAUCUUGUUGUAUGAAUCAAUAGCAAUGAGAGAUUUAUCAACAAGAACACUUAUUCCUAUUUCUGGGUAGAAACCGCUUGCAUUAUGGAAUUUCAUUACUAGAUUUACAUCCUCGCCUUGAAAAUUUCUCGUAACCAACGUCAGGAUGGUUUUGUUUGAAGGCAUGUCGACUGAAAAUCUCAAGAGCGUGAUGAUAUUCUAAUGCCUCCAUCUCAUAUAUUUUCCUCACCCCCCAAUUUCUAAGCACUUGUUUAUUUCUGGUGGUUAUUAUGAUUCGACUCACAGGCGUCAACCGAUCAAGGCUUCCAAUUAAAGAUUCUAAUUGGCUGAAGCAAGUCACAUCAUCAAAAACAAUCAAAACCUUCAUGCGGCUGAGCCUUCUAAAAUUGAGGUCAAUAUAAGGCAUCACAUUUUUAUCCUUCAAUAAAUUUGAAAGAAGUUUUUGUCGCAAGCAAGCUAAUCCUCCUGGUCUUUGUGACUCUUCUCUAACAUUUUCGAGGAAGCAAGAACCUUCAAAAUCACCCGAGAUUUUGUCGAAAAUAGCUCUAGCGAUUGCUGUUUUGCCUAUACCACCAAUGCCCCAAAUCCCUAAAGCGUAAACAUCUUUCGACUCAACACCUAAUAGGGAUUCAAUUUCCUCAACUGUUGAUUCCACUCCAACCAGCUGGUUUUUGUUAUCACGCGGCCGAAACACUUCAUCCAAUCUCUUCAAAAUGUGAUUAACAACUUCAUUUAUAAGUUCCGACUCACGCCUAGCAAAUACAUAAAAUUAGCCGCGGUAACUUCAAAUUAAUUAAUAGGAGGAAUUUGCAUUAAAUAUGAAAUAAAGUAGAUUGUCAAUUUUCCUAUUAAAAUUAAUAUAUACCACUAUAAGUCUACAAUCUCACAAUAAAUUGAUAACUCUUAAGUUACAAGAAUAUUCGUGAGUUUUUUUUUUUUUUAAUGGUGAUAUAUAGAAAUGAAAUUGCUUGAAAAACUACAGAGCACCACUAAUUUUGCUAUAUAAAAAUUGUAAAAUUCUCGCGCUUUUAUUAUUAAUUCUGUCAAAAUUAUUUUAUAUGAGCACAAAAGUGGGGAAGUCAGGAAGUCUUGAAUUUGAUGCUUAAAAAUUUUUAAAAUUGUAGUUUAGCAUCCGGAAAUUUAACUAAGAGUGCUGCGUGAAUUUAUUGUUAAAUUUUAGUAUGAGAAAUUUAAUCUUUCUUCAAGCUUCGAAAAUGAAUCUCCAAAACUCCCAGUUUGGUUUCUCACGUCUGAUGGAUCAACCCGAUAGAAAACCGGAAUCACAAUCUGUGCAUACUCCUUGCAGUCGAGGAUCUUUACAAGUUCAUCGAGACACCAUCUGGAAGAUGCAUACCCUUCUGAGAAGACGAUAACUGAAAUGGCUGAUGCUUCAAUUGCAUUCACCAGUGACUCCGAAAUUUCGUCUCCUCUGUUAAGUUGGUCAUCAAUGAAAGUUUGGAUAUUUUGUCGACACAGAGCAGAAUAGAGAUGGCUAGUAAAGUUGUCUCGGGUGUCCUCUCCUCUGAAACUAACAAAAACAUCAUACUUCUUGUUGUUUCGAUAAGAAGAAGCCAUAAUCAACAGAAACAGUUGAAUUGAUUAGAGAGAGAUUUCGAUUCGGAUGAAAACAAUUAUUGAACGAAAUGUGCGUGACUCUAUAGAAUAAAUCGAUGCCAUGAACCUUCCUUCAAGUUCCGUGAUAGUUUUUCAAUUUCAUCUCAUUGUCCAACCACCGUGCACUCCACGAUGAUUGAUUAAUUCCACUGCUUUGUAGACUGUUAACUGAAAAUUCCACACGAACACCAUACUUUUCAACACACGUGCUUCUGUGCUUUAAUUUUUAUCUCUGAAUUUAUCUUAUCCGUCCUCAUCUCUCAAUUAAUUGUAUUUAGUUUCAAAAUUAUUCUUUUUUUUAGUAGCUCUUAUUCAUGUUCCUUAGGGUUGACUGUUAAGCAUAUAAAGUCUAACUUUAAAAAAAAUAUUAAUUAUUUAUUUUUUAUAACUUAUAUAUGAUUUUUAAAUAUUUACAUUUAAAUUAAAAAAGUAUUUUUUUUUGUGACCUUUGUCGAAAUGAGAAAAUGUUUGAAUGGAAAAAAAAUACUAUAUUCUAAGAAUAUUUCUAUUCAAUAUUGUUAUUUCCUAAACUAUAAACGGGUCACAUGUCGCUAAUUGUCAAAGCAAUAGCAAGCUGUUAGCUUAAAGCAAAGCACAUUCAUGCUUCACCCAUGAGAAUACAACCAAUUCUAAUGCAUGUAUUGUGACACACGUGCAAGCUAAAAGGAGGCACAUGUGGUUAAUUGUCAAAGCAAUAGCAAGCUGUUAGCUUAAAGCAAAGCACGUGCGUGCUUCAUCAAUAGGAUCUGUGAGCAAAGCACGUGCGUGCUUCAUCAAUAGGAUCUCUGAGUGGAUUAUUAUUAUUACUAUUAUGUAUUUUACAAAGCAUUUAUGUUUAAUAGUAUGAUUUAGUAAAAUAUUAUGAUUAUAUGUACGUAUAUUAUAUGAUUGACUGAGUCAUGAGAUGUAAUUGACAUGCACCAUAUGUGUACCUUUUCCCAUAGGCUCUACGCAUGCGUAUUGAGAAUUAAAUUACUCGACCCUUGUGAUGUUGUUAAUUCUACCGAGUAUUGAGAGGUUUUUCCCCCUUUUUACUCAUGCGAUGAUGAUCCCAGUGAGUAUUGAGAGUUAUUUCCCCUGUAUAUUAUUUGGUGCAAUUUUGUCAUGUAUGUAUAUACGAGUUCAUGUUUGCUUUUGUAAAGCGUUCAAUGUAAAGUUAUGUCAUACAAUUAUGACGAGCACUAAAGCACUAAUUUAUUUAUAUAUAUAAUUAUAUUCAUUCAUUGAGUCACAAGCUUACUAUUUUCCUAUUUACCCCAUUUCUCUAAGGUUUCCAUAGGAUUUCGUGUAGUUCAAUUUCUGAUAAAUUGAGGUUGGACCACGACACGCAUUACUGCACGACUUACAUUUUGACCACGUUUAUGUUUAUAUGUAUAUUUUCGAAGUGAAUGUAUGUACAAUGAGAUAUGAACUAUGUAAGUUUUUAAUAAAUUUUUGAAUGAGGCACAAAGAUUAUUAUAUGUUUAUAACAAAGGCCAAGGCUAGUGUUAUAUAUUCAUGAAUUAAGUUUAUGUCAUGAGCUUUAGAUAUAAAAUUGCAUGAUUCACCCCAGAUCCAACAGAAGGGUUGACGCGGUUUGUGUCAUGUAUGAUAUGUACAUAUUUAUAUUCAAUAUAACCACCAUUUGAAUAAUAGUUUUUUCAAAUAAGUGCACAUGUGUCGUAGCAUGAUUCACUUGUUGUAUGGCUAACAUGGUACUUCUGAUGUAUUCUAAAAUUUCUUCCUUAGUUAGAGGCAUUUGUUUUAAAAUUUUAUUUAAAAGAAGGUCAUUUUAAAUUUCAAAAUGUAAAGUGUAUUUUCUACAACACUAAAGGAUAAAACGGCCUUCAAUAUAGAUUUCUUAAUAAAUUUUAAGAGAACUAACAGAAAGUGGUUAUUUCAUUCAUGGUUAUUAAAUCAAAAUUUGAAUUAGAUCAUCACUGGUCCAAAAUAAACUAUCGUCAUUUCAAAUUGAAGCAUGAAACCGUGAAUGAAAGCAUCUUUAAAUAAAAGGAUACGUUUUUAUUAUAUAUGACAUUGUUUAAUUAGACAUAUCUUUACAGUCGGACACAUUUUUAGAGCACCAUUUAUAUUGACAAUAUUCCAGCAUAAAAUAUGUCCCUCUCCUUAUACGAGUAUUUUGCAAAUAAUUUGCAAAUAAUACAGAGCCACCACUAGUUCAAAAAUAAUAAAACAAUAACAUUGCUCACUUUCAUUGAUGGUUGGAUUGUUUCUGGGUUAUCCUUGUUUUUUUUUUUUUGUUUUAAUUGCUUUACAUACAUUAUGUGUGUAAUUUUUUAAUGGACAAUCUUCAUUUGAAACAUGAAAAUUUUAAAAAACUUUCCGAUUUGUGCAGGGUAUGAAGCCUCUUAAGUAGGACUUCUUAGGUGCUACUAUUGUGUUCGGCAAAUAUUUUCUUCUUUUAUUUUUCUUUUUUCAGUCACCAUAAUGGGGGUCAUGGUGAAACAACUUACUAAUCACUCUGGACAGGAAUGGGCUUCUAUAAGUAAAGCACACUUAUUUCACUCUUUCCUUAGUAUGGAGCUGCUUACUGUUGGGAUGAAGAUGGUAAUAGCUGCUUUAGAAAUUAGUUUUCUUCAGUAGGAAAAUUCUAAAUGUUGGAAAAUUUAAAGUUGUACUAGAAAACAAGCUGCCUAUUCAACCAAUGGCUAAAUGUAGCAUAGUAGUCUCCUUAGACGAUUAAUUAGAUUGCAUUCCUUUUGAUCUCUCUCUUUUCAUUUUUUCUCCUUUUUGACUUGCACUACUCUGUUCCUUUCCUCAAAAAAAAAAAAAAAAAUUGCACUUCUCUGCUGAUGUCUUCCCAAUAUCCUAUGAUGUACAAAUGCACAAAUACUCUUGUUGUGACGUUAACCAUAUAUGGUUUCUUUUUUAUUUUGGUCCAUUUUCCAAGAAUAGUAAGAAGAAUACUUUAUUUUAAUGAUGCUUCUCUGCUUUCUUAAAUGUAUGCUUGUUCUUGUUCACAUUUUACUGUUCAUCAUAAUUGGUAUGGUCUUUCUUUGGCAUCAUCAAGCCCCAAAUGUGAUGAAACAUUUUGAAUUUCUUAUUGAUCCAGCCUUCACUUUAGUAUAAUGUAUACACCGUACCUGCAGUAAGUAUCAUUGAUAGUUCUGAAUGAGUGCGAAAGCAGACUAGUGUGUAACUUCAUGAUUUAUUUACUGGUUUGCACAUCCAUAUUUCAAAUGGUUUACUGGUCUCUGGCCUAAAGAGAGGGAAAAUGAAAGACUUGUGAGACAAUCCUCAUGGCUUUGUUGACAUCAAUUUGGUGGUUGAUUGAGAAAUGAAUGAUCAUACAUAUACAUAUACAUAUACAUACAUACAUACAUAUAUAUAUAUAUAUAUAUAUAUAUAUAUAUAUAUAUAUAUAUAUAUAUAUAUAUAUAUGAUUUUCAUGGACUAGCAUUUGACAGAUGACUUGAUUAUUAUUUUUUGUCUGUCUGUUUAUUGAUUCUGUUGCUCAGUCAUAGCUAGACAUUGCUCAUUGACCAUUUGUUAGUGACAGGCUCAAAUGAGAUGCUUGAACUUUUGCUUUUAUCUCUUGUACUUACUUGCUUGGAUUUAGUUUGGAAAAGCAAAUCAACUAAGAUUUAGUCAAGUGAGCUUUGCAGCAAGUUGGGAUCCGACCCAAGUCAUAAUCCAAGUCGAGCAGAAUAUCCACAAAAACCAUCAUCUCAUCCAUGAAACAAAAGCAAUUUUGAGAGCCAGCAUUGGGGAAUCCUUUACUAGACAUGAGUUUUGAUAUUUGAUAUUAUGAAAGUCUUUUAUUUGACAUGUAAAGGUAGGGAUUUACUUUGUUUAACCCCUAUUCGUGCUAUAGGUUGACAGUAUUCUAUCACUUAAAUGCACUUUUUCCAAUCAGCCAAUGGCAAGCAAAUUGCUAGAAUUGAAAUGAGGCAUAAGUUAAAUGCUUUCUUGAAAUGUGGUGAAAUAAUUUGUUUAUGGUAUUACCUGUCGUGGCAGAACCAUCCUCCUCAAAUUAUUUAUAAGAAACUCUUUUUACUCUCUAUUAGGGGUGGGAACUAUUUAGUUUGGUUCGGUUCAGCCCUUGAACCGAACCAAACUGAAACCAAAUGGUUCAUGAAUUUAUGAACCAAAUUAUAGAACCGUUCAGUUUGAUUUGAUUUUAUCCUAUAUAUUCGUUAUUUAAUAAAAAAAUAUAAUAUAAUAAUACGCUAUUAAUACAACAAUAAUCUUGAGUCUAUAAAUUAGCAAACAAUAAACAACAUAAUAAAAUCUAAAAAUAGUAAAUUAACAUAAUAAAUUCCAAAAAUAAUCUAGAAAUUCAUAAAUAAUAACCAAUGUAAUAAAAUUUAACAAUAAUAAAUUAAAAUAAUAAAGUUCAACAAUAAAAUAAAGUGUAUGCAAUGACAUAUAUAAUAUCAUGUAUUAACUAACAAACAGAAAUAAAAAAAAAGAUAAAUUCUGAACUAUUUUUUAAUUUUAAUUUUAAUUUUUUCUUGAACCAUUUGGUUCGGUAAUUUGGUUCAGUUUUGAACCGAACCAAAGAAAAAAUCAAAUGGUUCAGAAUUUCUGAACCAUUUAGUUUUUUGCUCCGAACCAAACCGAACCAAAUGCCCACCCCUACUCUGUAUGCUUCUGAACCAUUUAAUUUUUUGCUGCGAACCAAAAUCGAAUUAAAUUAUCAUAAUACGGUUCGGUUCGAUUCGGUUCAGACUGAACCGAACCAAAUGCCCACUCCUACUGGAGUGGGCCUGGGCCUUCAAAAGGAAAGGAAAAGUUGUACCUAAAGUUGUGAAAAGGAAGAAUUUGCAAGUAAAAAAUGAAUAUAUUAUGCAUGGCUACAUAAAUUGGUACAUAUAGCUUUUGCACCUAAUCUGAUUAUCUCGAUUCCUGGACCCAGAACUAAUAGCCUAAUUAUUACACAUGAUAGUUUGCUGCUGCCAUACUACUUACAUGCGAGUGCUGAUUUUUAAACAGAAAUAUUCAACAGAGCACUGACAGAAACAGAGUUAACACCCGAGCCGGGUUACCGUGGUAAUUGAAAACAAUCAAUUAACACGAUAAAUCUGCUGGGUUUGUAGUUAAUUCUGCCAGCGCUCUGUCAGCUCCAGUAUUUGACUUAUUGACCUAUCUGUGGUUGGAAGGAAAAAUGAUUUAAGCAAGCUUUCGAAAAUGUUUUAUCCUUGUUUUAUUUCUGAAUAUCAGCAGUGCAUCAUUUUGAAAAUGUAACUGUGGGGUUUCAGGAUCCUCUUGAGCCAGUUUUGUUGUUCACAAAACCCCUUGUGCCAGAAAAAUUGGAUGCUGUAGGUAUUGUUCCGCCAUCAGAUUCUUCUACGAGGAAUGGCACUAUAGCACAAUGGAGACGUCUCUGUAUCGACUCAAUUCAAACUAAUUGUACAACUUCAUUUCUGAAGGAGUCACCAUUUUUUUUUUCCCAUUAAUCCCAUUUGGAGAAUGUGUACGUCAGGUGUUAAUGCUUAUAACGAAAUGAUGCACUAUGUUUGGUGUUUUUCAAUUUAAAAAUGUGUCUAAUACUGUAUUUUCAGAAUUGGACUAUAAAAAUAGAAAUAAAGAAAACGAUAUAAAAUUAAGUGUUAAGUAAGUAAAAGCACCAGGUCGGCCGUGCUACUAUUUUCGUCCCGACAUGGAUCACCUCAACCAAAUGGUACGAGCAGAACACGAGGACAAAUAUUGUCCGACCAGAGACGAGUACUGACCAGAGGUGUAUGCCGAGCCGAUACCCAUCUCCCGAAAAAGCGAGAACACGAUCCCACAGAAUCACGGCAGUUGCGCUUUUCCCAGAAUCGUUGCGAGAGAUGCGAGAUCCCACGUUUACCCGUAAUGUAGCAGUUAGAGUCCCGUGAGAGGCCACCACCCGAAAAAGGAGGGAUGAAGGCUAAGCGGGAACGUGGGACAACGACUAUAAAAGAAGGAGAAAUCGAUGAAGAAGGGGACAGAAAAAUUGAAAGAGGGAAAACGCUGCCAAAUUAUAACCAGACUAUUUUCUUACAAACUUCGGAUAAAUUAGAAACUAUUCUUGAAUCCAAAUUGCACUGUUUUCCCGUAAACACAUUGAGCUAACUUAGGCAUCGGAGGGUUUACGUCGGCAAAAUCACCGACAUCUUUGAUCCGUUUUUGUGAACGCAGGUCUAGAAAGAGAAAGAAGGGCGAUUCCAACCCCAGUGGUUCGAGCAACAGUUGAUAACACAAACGUUGGUGAAAGAUUCUGGUCGGUAAAAAGGCGAGCAUAUUUUAGCAUCAACAUUUUGGCGCCGUCUGUGGGGAUCUGGAUAAAAAGCUACCACCGAAUCAGUAGUUACCGGAGAAGCAGUGAACGAUUAGACAUGGAUGUGCCAAGGAAGGACGCUUUGAGGGAGGAUAACGAAUCUGGGGAGAUAAUCACUCUUAGGGAAAUUGCAAAUGAAGCCCAGGAGAGGGUAAUGCAAGAUCAAUUAGAGCGGAUGGAGAAACAAAUAGAGACUCUCGCGACCAUACUGUAUGAGUUAAGAGACGAGCGGAGAAGGGAUUGUGAAACCCCCGUGGGGAAAGAUGAUGUCGGAGCAGAACCCAGCCUCCGGAGGCGUAGAGUCGAGGAAGUCCCUCCGCCGGCGGACCAACCUAAUGGGGUGCAUCCCCACAGAAGCACUGGUCGGAUUACAGGAGAACAAGUAGAUGAAGGGAGGAACCAACCUCGCCCCGGGUGGGUAUUGGAAGCUGAUGGCCGAGGGGCCAGUGUUGAUGAAGGAGAGCUCAGAUAGCGGUUGCAGAAUGCCGAGCAGGAGCGAGAUCAGAUAGCUGCGCGUGAUCCUGACCGUGCUGUAGAAUUGGAGGGAGAGGUGCGCAGAUUAGCGCAAGUGAUAGAGGAGAUACAAGGUAAGAGGAAGCCCCCGAGCUGGAGAAUAAUGUUAGAUGAAGAAUCUCCACUAUCAACUGAGAUCAUGGGUACUGUAAUCCCAAGAGAUUUCCGCUUCCCCGACCUCAAAUACUCCGGGCGAAGUGAUCCACUGGUGCAUAUUGAACGUUUCAACGACAUGACGGGUGUUCAGGGGUUAACACCAGCUCAGAGGUGUAGGGCCCGAGAAUGGUACCGCAAGCUGUUACGAGGAAGUAUCAGAGGGUACGAGCAGAUGUGCCAAGAGUUGGCCGAACAGUUCUGAGGAGCGGUGGCCCCAGAGGAUGAUAUGAUGGAACUAAUGGGGAUGAAGCAGGAGGAACAAGAACCCCUUCGAGAUUUUGUAAAGCGAUACCACCGAGCCGUGCUUGAUUUGGGAGCUUUCAAUCACCCGCAAGCGUUGAGGGGAUUAAAGGAGGGUGUGAGGAUAGGCCGGCUAUGGUAUAACCUGAGAAGCCCCCUGGUACAGAAUUAUUCAUCGGGGUAUGAGCAGGCAAAGAGAGACAUUGAAAUCGAAGAAGAAAAAUCGGCAAGGAUAAAGAGUGAACAACUGGAGGAACUGAGACGAAAGGAAAGGAGAACCCCAAAUGGGAGCGGGUCGGGAAAGCGAGCUGGGGAGUCUUCAAUGAUGGGUGCAGUAUCCGCUCGAUCUCGCCCUUAUCCUAUGGCUCAGAGACCGCAGCAGGUCCAACACAAUCGGGCUCAGCCCCCGCGCCCCCAUUCCUGGAGCGGCAAUGAGAAUUCCGGCAGUUGGCUAACCAUCCUUAUCACAACGCUCCCAGAGCACUACAUACAGCCAACCCCAGAACGGGACGAUCAGGUCAGCUACCUUCAAUAUCCGCUCGGGACGAUACUCAUGAUAGACGAGCAGUGCAGCUGAUUGACCAGAACCCAGCGUACAGACAAUACACCCCGCUAAAAGUCCCUAUGGAGGAGUUGUAUGAGAGAAUCGAGGGACGAGGCCUGUUGUACCCUCCAGCCCCUAUAACAAAACCUACUCACCGACGGGAUAAGAGCAGAUUCUGCAAAUUCCACGACACUCACGGUCACACCAUCAGCCAAUGUCGUGACUUAAAGAUUCAGGUGGAAGAUUUGGUAAGAAACCGUUAUUUGGAUGAAUAUGUAGAUGGGGUCUCCCGUCAUUGAAUCACAGUACACGCGGGAUGAAGGAGGUGAGAGGGGCCUGGAACGUGAACAGCCAACUAUCCGUGUGAUAGCAGGAGGGCCAACCCUGGCUGGGGAUUCGAACAGGGCACAGAAGAACUAUGGGAAAUACGCCAUGACUAGCAAAGAAGUUCUUUUCAAUUUGCCAGCAGCCAAGAAGGCAAAAUUGCGGCAAGUUCCCAUUAUGUGAACAGAUGACGAUGAAGAGGGUAUCUUAUAUCCUCAUGAGGAUGCACUAGUGAUUAAGGCAAUGGUGGCUGGUACAGAACUGCGACGAAUACUGGUAGACACGGGCAGCUCGGUUGACAUCUUGUUUAAGUCGGCCCUAGAUGAUAUGGGAAUUGCAGACUUAAAAUUGGAACGGACAAAUACAUCUUUAAAGGGAUUUGGAGGGGGACGGCUAACUCCCAUGGGAAUCAUCGAACUCCCAAUUACUAUGGGGACAAAGCCGUUUGAAAGAACGAUGAUGCUAGAUUUUGUCGUGGUAGAGGAGAGAAGCCUUUACCAGAUGAUACUGGGGAGACCGUUCAUAAGGAUAAGCCAAUGCGUUGUAUCUACGCAUUAUCUAGCACUGAAAUACAGAGUAAACGGAGUGGUUGGCGUAGUAAAAGGCGACCAGAGGAUGGCAAGGAGUUGUUAUGCUACAGCGGCCAAGGAGACAGUGCAGGUUACUUCUUUAGAUAAUCGAGGAGAAUCUAAAAAGGGCCGCCAAGAGCCUGUUGAGAAACUGGAAGAAGUUGCGGUAAGCAAAAGCAACCCGAGCAGAGUGGUGAAGAUCGGAUCAGGGUUGGUUGGGGCAGUAAAAGGUGAGCUGGUAAAUUGCCUACAGUCUCAUGCAGAUAUAUUCGCCUGGUCUCACGAGGAUAUGCCAGGAAUUGAUCGCGGGGUAGCUUGCCACAAGUUGGCAAUCAAUAAGGGGGCGAGGCCGGUGAGACAGAAGAGGAGAUGUUUUAACCAGGAAAGGUAUGAGGUCAUAAACGCCGAGGUGGAGAAGCUGUUGAAAGCAGAGUUUAUAAGGGAGGCCAAGUACCCGGAGUGGAUUUCCAAUGUAGUGCUGGUAAAGAAGGCCAACGGGAAAUGGAGAAUGUGUGUGGAUUUCACAGAUCUUAAUAAGGCAUGCCCGAAGGACAGUUUUCCCCUACCAAAGAUAGACCAGUUGGUGGACUCAAUAGCGGGUCACAAUCUGCUCAGCUUCAUGGAUGCCUUUUCAGGAUACAACCAGAUUCCCAUGGACGAGCAGGAUGAGGAAAACACCACCUUUAUAACUAACAUGGGUUUGUUUUGCUACAGGGUGAUGCCUUUUGGCCUGAAAAAUGCAGGAGCUACCUAUCAAAGGUUGGUGAACAAGAUCUUCAAGCCCUUGAUCGGUCAUACUAUGGAAGUAUAUGUGGACGAUAUGAUCACAAAGUCCAGAGAACCGAGGGAUCAUGUGAGACACUUGGAAGAAACCUUUGAAUUGCUGAGGAAGUAUGAAAUGAAGCUAAACCCGGAGAAAUGUGCAUUUGGGGUCAGCUCGGGUAAAUUUUUGGGAUUCCUAGUAAGCCACCGAGAGACCGAGGCCAACCCGGAGAAAAUACGGGUAGUAACAGAAAUGAGAUCCCCCCGAACAGUUAAGGAGGUGCAGAGCCUUACAGGGAAAAUGGCAGCAGUGAACCGAUUCAUCUCGCGGGCCACGGAUAAAUGCCACCCUUUCUUCUGAACCAUAAAAAAGGGAGGAAGAUGGAGUGGACAUCAGAAUGUGAGGAGGCGUUUGGGCAGCUGAAGGAGUAUCUGGCCCAUGCCCCGUUACUAUCAACCCCGAGGGAAGGUGACCAGCUGUUUUUGUACUUGGCAAUAUCAAAAUGGGCUACCAGCUCGGUGUUAGUCCGAGAAGAAGAAGGGAAGCAACACCCCGUGUAUUACACUAGUAAAGCCCUGGUAGAUGUAGAAACUAGGUAUCCCUUGAUGGAGAAAUGGGCACUGGCCUUAAUAACAGCAGCACAGAAACUGCGACCAUAUUUUCAGGCCCACCCGAUAAUUGUGAUGACUGACCAGCCUCUUCGGCAAAUGCUCCAAAAACCAGAUGCAUCAGGGCGGUUAGUAAAGUGGUCCGUGGAACUGAGCGAAUUCGAUCUAUCCUACAAGCCCCGAGGAGCAAUCAAGGCCCAAGCCUUGGCUGAUUUUAUGGUUGAUUGUGUGGAACCAGGGGAAGAGGUCCAAGAGGAACAGCUAGCAGAGCAGAAGGAUAGAAAGGGGGUAUGGCUGGUAAUGGUUGAUGGGUCACGGGGUGAACAUAGAUCCGGGGCAGGAGUUAUAAUACGAAGCCCAGGAGGUGUCGAGGUAUCCUAUGCUGUAAAGUUCGAGUUCCAGCUUACGAACAACCAAGCUGAAUAUGAGGCCUUCAUUAUUGGGCUCGGGCUUGCACAUGCACUACGGGCAGAAACAGUAGAAAUCCGAGCAGAUUCCCAGCUAGUAUGUAACCAGCUCAGCAAUCAAUUCCAAGUAAGGGAAGAGAAAUUGGGACUUUAUCUGAAGAAGGCGAAGCAAAUGGUUGAACUCUUUAAAGAGGUAGAGGUGAAGCAGAUAUCCCGGAACGAAAAUUACCGAGCUGAUAUGUUGGCUAGAAUGGCUGCAACGGCAGAUCUGAAAUUACCUAAGUCGGUCUCACUAGAGGUAAGGACAUUGCCAAGUAUAGGGGAGGAAGUAGAAGUGAUGAGAGUAAACACUGAAGAAUCCUGGAUGGACCUGAUUCGCGCAUAUGUCCACGAUGGAGUUUUACUAGAGGACAAAAGGCAAGCAAGGAAAUUAAAAUGCCGAGCAGCGAGAUACACGCUACUAGAUGGAGUGCUGUACCGCCGGGGGUUCACCUUGCCCCUUUUGAGAUGUUUGGAUGAGGAGGAGGCAGAUUAUGUACUGAGGGAGAUUCAUGAAGGAAUAUGUGGCAAUCACUCGGGAGCAAGAACUUUAGCCUUCAAGGUACUCCGGCAAGGAUACUUCUGGCCGACCAUGCACCAGGAUGCAAAAAGGAUGGCAAAGAACUGUAAAACCUGCCAAAGCUUCUCUGAGAUUCCUGCACAACCCCCAGAAAAGUUGACCACUAUGGCAUUCCCGUGGCCUUUCGCUCAAUGGGGAAUCGACUUGAUUGGUCCGUUACCUAAGGGCUGAGGAGCGGCGACACAUGCAAUUGUGGCAGUAGACUACUUCACCAAGUGGGUAGAGGUGGGAGUCCUCAGCCAAAUCACGGAGAGAAAGACAACGGAUUUUAUUUGGAAGAAUAUCAUCUGCAGAUACGGGAUCCCCUAUGCCAUCAUUACAGACAAUGAGAGGCAAUUUGACAACAGCAACUUCAGGAAAUUUUGCCGAAAUUUGGGGGUGGACCUGAAGUUCUGCACCCCCACACACCCCCAGGCAAACAGACAAGUGGAAGCAGCCAACAAAGUGAUAAAGAAGCUUCUGAAAACUAGAUUGGGAGAGAAGAAGGGAGCUUGGGUUGACGAACUACCAGGAGUAUUAUGGGCCUACCGAAUAACUCAUAAAACCGCCACAGGGGAAACCCCGUUCGCUUUAGCUUUUGGACAUGAGGCGGUAGUCCCGGCAGAAAUUGGAGUGGGGACACAUCGAAUGGAAUAUUUCACUGGGGAACAAAACGACGAGCAGAUCUGCUUAAACUUGGACCUACUGGAGGAGAAAAGGGAAGGGGCUUCGCGGAAAGUGGCCCAGUGUCAGCAAAGGGUCACGCGUUAUUACAACAAGAACGUACGCGUGAGGCAGUUCCGAACAGGAGAUCGGGUGCUCAGGAAGGUGAACCAAAACACCAGGGAUCCCAAUCAUGGAGCUCUCGGUCCGAAAUGGGAAGGCCCGUACAGGGUGAUACGAGCAACUGGACCAGGAGCUUACAAGCUAGCGUACCCAGACGGACGAGAUGUGAAGAGGUCAUGGAACGCCGAGCACUUAAAGAAGUAUUUCCAGUAAGCAAAGUGCUCUGCUAAAUCCUCAUUUUGAUAAGUUAUCUUUGUUAACUGCAUGAUGGCUUAUUACGCAUGUAUAUAUUCUGUAUUUUUGUAAUACAUUCAAAUUCCAAUAAAGAUGAAUUCAGCAUGAAACCCUUCUGUUAGCAAGCCCAUUAAAACUUCUACCAAGGCAAGUAAGUGCCUGCUUCUGCUCGGUCAACGAAAGACUAGCAGCUAAAUUUACGAAACUUCUACCAAGGCAAGUAAGUGCCUGCUUCUGCUCGUUCAACGAAAGACCAGCAGCUAAAUUUACGAAACUUCUACCAAGGCAAGUAAGUGCCUAGUACUGCUCGGUCAACGAAAGACCAGCAGCUAAAUUUAUGAAACUUCUACCAAGACAAGUAAGUGUCUGCUUCUGCUCGGUCAACGAAAGACCAGCAGCUAAAUUUACGAAACUUCUACCAAGGCAAGUAAGUGCCUAGUUCUGCUCGGUCAACGAAAGACCAGCAGCUAAAUUUACGAAACUUCUACCAAGGCAAGUAAGUGCCUGCUUCUACUCGGUCAACGAAAGACCAGCAGCUAAAUUUACAAAACCUCUACCAAGGCAAGUAAGUGCCUGCUUCUGCUCGGUCAACGAAAGACCAGCAGCUAAAUCUACGAAAAUUCUACUAAGGCAAGUAAGUGCCUGCUUCUGCUCGGUCUACGAAAGACCAGCAGCUAAUCCUACGAGAAUUCUGCUAGGGCAAAUAAGUGCCUAGUUCUGCUCGGUCAACGAAGACUAGCAACCAAUUUUAUGAAAAUUUUACUAAGGCAAGUAAAUGCAUACUCCUGCUCGGUCCACUAAGGAACCAGCAGACAAAAUCAGAUAAGUUAUCCAAUUAUUUUGCAGAAACAAUCUAUGAGCAAAAACCAGACAAGAAAGCCAAUAGAGAACAUCUAAAAAUUUAUAAAUGUUCAAUUGUUUACAAAACAAAUGCAAAUCUAGAGUUUAUACAAAAAUAGACUUAAAGAUUAGCAGGGUCAUCGACUCCAGCAGCUGAAGGAUCAGCAAUCUCAGGAGGUAGGAGAUCGGCAAUACCGGAAGGAGGAGGCACGGACCCUUGACCCACUUCGAAAGCACGGCCCCCGGCUUCCCCCUCCUGCACCCCAUCCAAAGGAGCCUCCACCUGAUCCUGCUCGCCCUGCUCCUUAUCUGCCUGGCCGGUCUCCGCCAUAUACCGUUGCACUCCAGCCUCCAGCUUACUCAUGUCCAGCUCGGGAUAUUCUUCCUUAAGCACAGACAUGAUACACUUAUAGGAGAAAGCAACCCCAGAGUCAUACUCGGCAUCCAGCCGAUCGUCCACAUCAGCGGAUUUACCUUUCUCCUCAGCUAGCUGCUCAUUCAGGGAUUUGAUUUCUCCCUCAAGGGCGGUCCUCAGAGUAUCUCUUUCACUUUGAGUUACCUGAAGGUCAGACUUCAGGCUACCCAACUCACCCUCAAAUUUGGAGGCAGUGGACUCAGCAAUUGCAACUUUCUCCUCCAGCUCCGUAAUCUGCUUGUUCAGCUCGGCCAGCUUCUCCUUGGAGCGAUCAGCAGAUUCAGCCCUCUUCUUCAACUCCUGAUUGUCAGCUUGAAGCUUCCUCUCAUGGCUUGUGGACCCGUUCUUGUAACACGAAACCAUAGUGGCCAGCCUGAAGGAAACCCUUUGAACAGAAGCAGCUAACUCGGAGAGGUUCAUACUCUCGAUGUCCUUCACCAUCUUGGGCCCCACCGAUUUCUUGUAAUCCUUCUGAUACGGGCUCAGGUAGUCACCUUGAUCCCGAGAUGGAAGAUGAGAAGAUCGGUCCCCAGACUGCAAGCUGACCUCAGGACUCUUGUCGGAAAUUUUCUCCCCACCACUCUUACGAGGUGGAGGAGGGGGCAGAGCAGGAACAGGAGCCUUGGAAGGACCGACGCUGAUUUUCUUCGGAGGAGGAGGAGGGUUGCUGGAGCUACUCGGAGCCCGACCAUGCUUUCUGCUCAUCGCGCUGAGGAUCUUGUUAUCCAUCCCAGAGGCAAUAUCUACUAAGCCCGAACCGACCAAGUUUGUUGGUGACAGGAGGUCUUGGCAAGUAGACGCGUUCACCAGAGCUGUUUCCACCUGAAGCAAAGGUCGGUCUUUGAGAUCCUUAACCAAACCCCACGAUUCUGAAAAAACAAACAAGGUUAAAGAACCCAAUAAGUGGCAAUUCGAGAAAGAAUAUAGGCAAAAAAUGAACGACCUGGGGUGACAAAUUGCGUUGGAAGGUAAAUAUCACCACCCAACGAACAGACUACUGAACACCAAUUUGCCUCAGCAAAGAAGAAUUUGUUCUUCCAAUUUUUGCACGAGGAGGGGAAACCGGUGAUUGGCUUUCUCUUCGCAGAACUGGAUAUGAAGUAGUACCAGCCCGCCUCCCUUGGGCUGCUCCGCAGCUGAUACAAAUGCUUCACUUCAACAAGGGAAGGCUCCUCCGACCCGCACCUCUCCCACAACACAAACAUAACCGAGAGAACCCUCCACCCGUUUGGGUGUAGCUGACCUGGGGCCAAGUGCAUACCCCCCAAAAUCUUGGCAAAAUAACGCUGAAGAGGUAGUCGAGCUCCUAGUUUGAAACUCUCCAGGUGCAUCGUCACGUACCCCCAUGGAGGCCGACUAGGAACAUCACCUUUCCCAGGAACCACAAGGAGAACCUCCUCAGGAAUGUCGUAGAGGUUCCUAAGCUUGAAUAGAUCAGUUUGGGUGGUGGCACAGGCUAUGUGAUCGAUAGGGUAAGAAUCCGCCUCCACCCUAUGCCCAAGGUUUCAUUUUUUAGGAGGUCGGCUCGGCUCGGAGCUGCUUCCCUCACCAUCACCCACUUCUUCAGGGACCUCAACCCCACCAGAACUGUGGUUCUCACCAGAGCCCGACGCAGGUCCCUCUCUAUUUCUUACAAGCUCUAAUUCAGGGGAAGGUGAAAUGGUCAAGGGACGUGGGUACUCAAGGGUAUCCCUACUAUAGGAGAAGCCUACACUACAAGAGGGAUGCAAAAAACCAGUGGGUAUUGACAAGUUAAGGCGUGAAUCCCCUGAUUCUUCGUCACCCUCAUCUGCAAUCAACUUCCUUCUCCGAUUUGACAUAUCAGAGCCCCAAAAGGAAACCAAAACAAACCCAAGUACACGAAUACAAAAAGGGACAACACAGAACCCAAUCAACAACAGCCAAAGAAGAGGUUAAAGGCUAUACCUGGAAUAGACUGACACUGAUAGCGCUGCCGUGACAGAGAAAACACCCAGCAAAUGGAUACUCCGGACGCUGGAAGUGUGAGCAAAGUUCAGAGAAGGAUUUGGUUAACGGCGGAGAAACGAAUAACAAAAUGAGGAUGACUUUAGUCUAGGGAUUUGAAACGAAAAGGGGGAAACGGAAGCGUUUAAGUGAUGGGAUAUGCCAGCUCACUCACCAUAUAUCGAGGAUGGAUAGCCCGUCAUUUCAAAUUUCAAAUACGAAGAGUCGGGAAGCGCCACGUCACUAACCGUUACAAGAGGCUAGGCUAGAUGCAAGCCCAGAUAUGCAAUGUACAUGCUCAUUAAGGCCCAUGCUCGGGUCGGAAUCUCCCCAGAAGAAAAGUGGUACCUCAGGUCCUUCCCGGUACAACAGAAGACCAGAUGAGAAGCCCCGGGCUGGUCAGAUUCGACCAUCAGUUUCUACUCUUAACUCAUUUCACUCGCAAGACCAGAAACUGGGGGACUGGUGUUAAGUAAGUAAAAGCACCAGGUCGGUCGUGCUACUAUUUCCGCCCCGGCAUGGAUCACCUCAACCAAAUGGUACGAGCAGAACACGGGGACAAAUAUGGUCCGACCAGAGACGAGUACCGACCAGAGGUGUAUGCCGAGCCGAUACCCGUCUCCCGAAAAAGCGGGAACACGAUCUCACAGAAUCACGGCAGUUGCGCUUUUCCUAGAACCGUUGCGAGAGAUGCGAGAUCCCACGUUUACCCGUAAUGUAGCAGUUAGAGUCCCGUGAGAGGCCACCACCCGAAAAAGGAGGGAUGAAAGCUAAGCGGGAACGUGGGACAACGACUAUAAAAGAAGGAGAAAUCGAUGAAGAAGGGGACAGAAAAAUUGAAAGAGGGAAAACGCUGCCAAAUUAUAACCUGGCUAUUUUCUUACAAACUUCGGAUAAAUUAGAAACUAUUCUUGAAUCCAAAUUGCACUGUUUUCCCGUAAACACCUUGAGCUAACUUAGGCAUCGGAGGGUUUGCGCCGGCAAAACCACCGGCGUCUUUGAUCCGUUUUUGUGAACGCAGGUCUAGAAAGAGAAAGGAGGGCGAUUCCAACCCUAGUGGUACGAGCAACAGUUGAUAACACAAACGUUGGUGAAAGAUUCUGGUCGGUAAAAAGGCGAGUAUAUUUUAGCAUCAACAUUAAGGUAAUAUAGGACGAAAAAGUAUGGACAAGGAAGCAGUAAUAUUUGGUGUUUUUCAUUUUUUUCAAUAAAAAAAUGAAAACAAAAUUUUCAAUAUCUAUUCAUCAUUUUUUGGGAAAAAACAAAAAAAAGCUUAAAGAAUAAAUGAAAGGGUGUUUGUUAAAACAAAAAUGUGAUUGGUGUUUGAAUAAUGACUCUCUCGGUCAGGCAAAAUAAUCACAUAAUCAUUUUUUUGAAACACAAACCCUUUUGGUUAAGAAAUAAUCACACAAAUCCUAAUGUUUUAUCUGAAAGAGAAUUUGUGUAUCUCAAAAGAGACAUGUGUGACCUUUUCUAAAAACAAAAUAUCUUUCUAGUUAUUUUGCCAAAUCACGUGGUGCCUUUAGAAAUAAGAUAGAUUUUAAUUUGCCCCCAAUUCAGAAAGAAAAUCUUUAAUUUAUCACCUAAAAAUAUAAAAAUAUCAAUUUACCCCAUUUAUUGUUAAGAAGAUUAAAAAAAAAAAAACCAUCAACACAUUCCUUAUUUGCCCCUAAUAUUUUGGACGGAAAUGAAGAAUAAAUUGAGGUUUACAUUGAGAGCAAAUUAGAGAUUAUCAUUUUAUUUGGGGAUGAAUUAAAAUUUAUUCGUAGGAAUAAAAAAUUCAAGAGAAAUACAUCGAAAAAGGUAAUAGUUUUCACUUUUUAUGGAGUAUUUGAGUAAGGGUAUUUGCACCCCACUAUUUUUAUAAAUCCACCCUACUUCUAGAAACUAAUUGCAAUGAAUUUACAAUAUUUUUAAAAAAAUACAAAUUAAUAAAAAUUUGUAUAAUUAAUCAUUAAAAUCCUUCUAUUGAUUUUCUUCUUGGGUUCUUUGACCAUCUUUAAUCAUAAACUUUAAUACAAGUUUUAUUUUAGUAUUUUAUUAUUAUGAUAUAUAGCAACUAAAUUACCAUAAUAAACACGAGUUAUUGUAUCUACUAAUUUAUGUAUCUAAUUUUGUGGCUUAUAAUAUAAUAUUUUAAAAUAAAAUCUAAUUGUGAUUUUCUCUACUUUAGUGUGUAAAUAACAUAAAAUUGACAUCCCAAUAAUUUACAUGAGUAUCAUGCCCUAAAGAUACUAUUUUAGUUUAAUUAAAGAUUAAAACUCAUACUAGUAAAGUAGUAUUAGAAACAAUGAGUUUGGAAUAAAAUUAGAAAAAUAUUGAAAUUAAAGUAAAUUCUUAAUAGUUUUACCUUAUAAGAGUAAAAUAAUCAAUUUAAACUUAUGACAAAACAAUCUUUGUAGCUAAUUAUAAUAAAAUAAUCUAAAUCACAAGAAAGUAAACUAAAAUAAAUCUAGUUAAUUAACUCUACAAAGUUAUUCUUUGUUUGAAAAUUUUAAAACAUAGCAUGUAUGUUUUAUAAUUAUUUUUUAGACGAAGUAUUAUCAUUUUGAUUUUUGAGGAAUAUCAGUAAAAUUUUCAUAAAAUAGUGGAAUAAGCCCAAUAAAUAAAUAAGUACAUAAAAAGUUUUUGUCAUAGCCACAGUCUCAUAGAGGUGGAAGCAGGGGAGGAGCAGGCCAAGCCAGGCCACAGAAAAUAUUCAAUUGAAAAAGCAAGAAAAGAAUGAGCGUGUGGAUGGUAAGGGCUCGGGCUCCCUCUUUCAUUAUUCCAAUAACAACGCUCAGGAUUGGAAAUGGAAAUGGAGAUGUAAAAGGCCUGCGCUUGCCCCUAUUGAGCAAUAAGAGUUGGCAGUUUCAGUUGCAGUUGGAGUUGCAGCAGAGGAAUAAGGAGAAGAAGAAGAGACAAAAUGUUACCAUCAGUUAUACUAACAGUAGCAGUGGAGGGGAUUCUGCUUCUGCUGCACUGGAACUGGAGGUUAAUGAGAUAAGGGAGAGUUGCAAAAUGUGGAAAUGGAAGGGUCAGUACUCCAUCAAUUACUUGGUUUCUUCAACUCCAAAUUCACAUCCCAAUUCUCCUCCUCUACUCCUUGUCCAUGGCUUUGGUGCCUCCAUUCCUCACUGGCGCAGGUUAGCGAGAUAAGAUUGCUCUUUCUUGUUGUGAAUUGUCUAGAGGGUUGAUUAUUGGGUGCACAAAAAUGUAGCUCCUUUAUUGUGAAUUCAAUUCAAAUUAUGUUCUGGGUAUUUUCGACUGUAAUUUUUUUUUUUUUGUAUGGAGCAUGUCUUUACCUUAUGUAUGUAAUAUCUCUGACUCUGUUAUGUAUUAUGAACUCCAGGGAUGGAUUUAUAUGUGUUAUACUUCUAAUAAUUAAUUAAGAUGAAUGAAGCAAAAGAACAAUGAAAGUAAAAUCUAUUCAUUAUUUCACGGUGCAUUGGCAUUAACACUUAGUUCUAUUCCUUGCACCUAGAUGAUGACAAACCAGUGAUCUGAAUUUCAGGGUUCCAUUUCAUAUUACCCUUUUAUGGGUAUAGGCUUCUUCCAUUUUCCAAUUCUUAAUCUAGUGAAAAAGUAUUCAUUUUACCGCUCCGUAGAAGAGGGGAAUGAAAAUUUGUGUGUUCACUACUCCUUUAUCCUAUUAAAUAAUGUGAGGAAUUGAUAUUUUUCUUGUCAUCUCUGAGGUAAUUCCAGGAAUAUCGGCACCCUGGAGAAGAGCUACACGGUUUAUGCAAUUGACCUUCUUGGAUUUGGUGCUUCAUAUAAGCCAGCUGGUUAUUCAUAUACCAUGGAGGCAUGGGCUCAGGUGUGCAAUGUUCCCUAGCCAGAAGUUGGAUCUUUCUCUGUACUUAUGUCAUCAAUCACUUGACCUUUAGUUAUUUUCCUUGCUAACUUGAGUGAGAUUCACUGAUACAGCUAAUAUUGGAUUUCUUGGAUGAAAUUGUUCAGAAGCCAACUGUGCUUAUAGGUAAUUCUGUUGGAAGCCUAGCUUGUGUUAUCGCUGCCUCAGGUAUAUUUAUUUUAACUUCCCCUUGGACAUCAGAUAUUCUUCAACUUGCUUGCAAAGAAACACUUGUCCCUAAUUAUCCUUUUUGGUAUCUAUGGUUUACGAUAAACCUGCUAUAUUUUCUACCAUAAGAAUCUAGUCAAACCCUUGUUCGAGGGCUUGUUCUGUUGAAUUGUGCUGGUGGCAUGAACAAGGCAAUUGUUGAUGAUUGGAGAAUCAAGCUAUUGUUACCAUUGCUUUGGUUCAUUGAUUUUUUGUUGAAGCAAAGGCCAAUUGCUUCUGCUAUAUUUGAGCGUGUGAAACAAAGGUAUUUUCUCUUUUCUUUAUUCAGUCCAUUGUUCAUUAUCCUAAAACACUAGAGUCAAAAUUAAAAAAAUCUAUGAUGUGUAUAUAUUGGUGCUUCAGGGAAACACUGAGGAAUAUUUUACUGUCGAUCUAUGCAAAUAAGGAAUCUGUGGAUGAAACACUGGUUGAGGUAUUAAUAUUCUCCACUUAUAUGUCAUUUUAACCUGUUACAAAAAUGGCUACUCAGAAUUCAUGAAUCAACCUCAAAACUGCAGAUCAUACGAGAGCCUGCCAAUGUGGAAGGGGCACUUGAUGCAUUUGUUUCGAUUGUAACCGGCCCACCAGGGCCGAACCCAGUUCAAUUGAUGCCAUCAAUCUCUAUACCUCUACUAGUUUUAUGGGGUGAUGAGGAUCCAUUCACACCCCUCGAUGGACCUGUUGGUAAAUACUUCUCAUCUCUGCCUUCUAAACUCUCAAACGUGAAGUUAAUUGUAUUGAAAGGAGUAGGACAUUGCCCCCAUGACGACAGGCCUGAAUUGGUCCACGAAAAGCUGCUUCCUUGGUUGGCUGAAACAUUUAAUUUCUGAGGAAUUUACUUUCUCAUCAGCAAGUUUUAACGAGCAUUAUAUAUUAUUCCUAUUGUAAAAAGACAAAACAACUCUUGUAUUUAUGUUGUAUAUAUCAAUUCUUAUUCAACCGCUUGGUUAUCUUUUGGCGCCGAAAGGAAUGUUGGAGAAACUGAUCUCUGACAUGUUGUAGAAGCUCCAAAUUGAUUCAAGAAAUAUAUCAAAUUAUUCAAUAAAAAAUCAAAUUCAGCACAAUAAUAAAGAAUAAUGAUUUAGUAAUCCAUAUUGCUCAUGUCAAUGAUAUGUGAAUGAUAGGAUCCAAUUUUAUACAUGAAAAAGAUACAAUAAUCUAAAUCGAAAUAUAAGUUCACAGGCAUCUUCAAUCCUUUCCUUACAAGUCAUUUUUGUAAAUAUAAAUUCUAACCAUAGACGAUACCACAUCAACUAUGGAACCAAGUGCAUCAUUCCAAAUAUGGAAUUGGUAGAGAUACUUGAAAAAGUGCAUACAUGUUUAAGCAAAUGGAUUCACAACUCAGGUGAGUUGAGUGAAAAUGACACCUAUCUCAGUCUUCUUCGUUACAGUUGAAACAUGUGCUUGGGUCUUCCAUUGACGUAGGAUCUGGUGUGAAGUAAAUGGAUCCCACAUUUUUUCACCCCGCAGCACUGGCACUCCAAAGGUGGAAAAACAUUAAAGUGGACUGCCUCAAGAAUGCAAUUGCAUUUCCAAAAACCAUUAAAAUCCUCUUCACAGAACAGAUAGUGCCCCAAAUGUAAGUGAUAUGAUUCUACAUAAUUAACUCUGCUCUGAGAUAAUCGUGUGUCAUGCGUACCACAAUCUUUGGUGGUUUUCACUUUGAGCUCAAAAGAAAAUGAAAACCAUCUGCCACAAUCUACAUGACGGUCUGAAAAUGCUAAAAUAGCACUAAAUGCAAUGCCCUGCACUCUGCUAUUAUUGAAGAAAUCUGGCGGCAUCUCCAAGGUUAUAAAAGAUCCCACACUUUGAAACUCAAACCACUUUGGAAUUUCAUUCCCAGGUAGUACUAUAUGACCUUUGCCCAAGGAAAAACCUCUCUGUACCAAAAAAACAUAAUUUUAAACCCAAAAAAAAACAAAGAUUGUAGAAAUUGCAUGUAAGUAGAGAGAGUUAAAGACACACAUUUUGCCAUACUUCUUGCCAUAUUUCUUGCAAACGUAGAACUGGCGUAUGAUUCGUAUGCUGAAUUCUCAGGGUAUCUUCAACAAUUCCUGCAGUAGAAUUACCUUCCAAUUUAAAAUUAUUGCUCCGGUCAAAAAAAAUUGCCUGUAAGAUUCAUAACUUAGAGAACAAACCUAAAAAUGGUUGCAGUGCCAAGCAACCUCGUUCAAGGAAUGGAGACUUUUGUACGAAUUGGAACCUCUCACCAUAACUUAAGAGGAGGUAUCCCGACACGAAAAGUUGGAUAAUGCUUUCUGGUAUUCUCUCAAUAUUGGUUUUCGCUAGAUUAAAUGUUAUUGGCGAGGAUAAUUGGCCAAGACAUUCGGGCAAUCUCUGAAGAUUUGAGCAACCACAGAGAUUAAGAACUCCAAGAGAUUUCAAUCUAUAGAGGCUGCUUGGGAGAUUCUUAAGCCUUUUACAAUUUGAAAGGUCUAAGUAUCCGAGCCUAAGUAGACGCUCAAUUGAUGAGGGCAGUUCUUCAAUUGCAGUCCCCCUUAAAAAUAACCAGCUUAUAUUACCUGAUGAGAUCUCUGGAAGCCUUUUCAGUUUUGGGCAGCCCGAAAGAUCAAGUUUGGUAAGAAAUUCCAAGUUAAAUAUUCCAGAUGGAAGACUUUUCAGGCUUUUGCUACCUCUUAGAUUCAAGAUAACCAGCUUGUUCAGACGUGGCAUCAACGUGGGAUUUGGAAUUUUGGCAAUUAGCUUAUGGCAGGCAGCAUGGAUUAUCUGGUUUAACUUACUAUAAUGCUGCUCGGUCAAAAAAGAGGCCAAGACAAAAUCGUUACCACGUAUAAUAAUUUAAUGUUGUUAUUGAGAGAUUGCACAUAUAUAAUAAGAUAUGCAUACCUUCACACAAUCCCAAAGUUGUUCAAUGUCAUUAUCAGGCACUUCAAGGAACAUAAGCUUCUCUGCACUGAGGUUUGAGGGAAAUGACUUCAACGGAUAUCCAUGCCAGUGAAGAUAUUUCACUUCAGCAAAUCCAGGGUCUUGCAAAUAAGACAUCUUACAUUUGUUCUCUCCAUUGAAUAAUGAACUAUAGAACUUUAAAAAUCUCAAUUUAGGCAUCUUUGUGAAAGUAUUGGGAUUUAGACGGAGCUCUUUUACUUUUGACAUAUCCAAACAUAUGCCCUCAAUUUUUUCUGUCCCCUAAAAAUAAAUGAAAAAGCAAUAAAGUUACAAUCAAAUGAAAGAUAUGUGUAUUCCACCAAUGAAUCGCCCUUCAACAAUACAUAGGGAUAAUUUUUGGGGCAAUUUUCUCACUAAUUCACAAUUAGAGGUAGCUUGUAGUUAUUGCUAGGCAGUUAAACUUUUAAUUGCAAAUGCACAAAGAAACAUAACAACACAAGUAAUACUUAAUAUAAAAAUUCCGUCUGUGUACUAUACAAAUUGGCAUAUCAAUUAUGCUUGCAAACGAUUAUGCAAGUUGUCAUGGCAUUUAUAAUUUAUUGCUACGUCAUCUAACGGAUAUGGUUUUUUCUAAUCAUUGUCGCUCUUCUAUUAAUUCUAAGACUCAUCAGUUCGAGCAUAGAUAAAUAUAUUCAUAUCAAGUUUGUAAAUGCUAGAAUAUUUCAAAAUAAUUAUCCACAACAAACUGCUUACCGUGUUAUAUGUAAGAACUUCAUAGAUAUCCUCAUGAUGCCACAACCUACUGCGGUUUCCAGGAUUAAUUGAUUCUUGUCGAACAAUUUCCCUACCCAACUCUUGUAGUAAAUCAUGCAUUCUUAUCUUGUUGUAUGAAUCAAUAGCAAUGAGAGAUUUAUCAACAAGAACACUUAUUCCUAUUUCUGGGUAGAAACCGCUUGCAUUAUGGAAUUUCAUUACUAGAUUUACAUCCUCGCCUUGAAAGAAACAAGCAACAUCAAGGAAAAUAUUUUUCUCCUUAUCAUCCAAACUAUUGUAACUUAUUUUUAAUACCUCUAGGAUACUUGGAUGGAGGAUUCUUUGCAAUUUAUUUAUUGCACUUUCCCAGACUUCCUUUUCUCUUUCAUAUAGAAAGCAACCCAAAACUUUAAGAGCUAAGGGAACACCUUGAGCAUAUUUCAUUACCUUGCUUGAAAAUUUCUCGUAACCAACUUCAGGAUGGUUUUGUUUGAAGGCAUGUCGACUGAAAAGCUCAAGAGCGUGAUGAUAUUCUAAUGCCUCCAUCACAUAUAUUUUACUCACCCCCCAAUUUCUAAGCACUUGUUUAUUUCUGGUGGUUAUUAUGAUUCGACUCACAGGCGUCAACCAAUCAAGACUUCCAAUUAUAGAUUCUAAUUGGCUGAAGCAAGUCACAUCAUCAAAAACAAUCAGAACCUUCAUGCGGCUGAGCCUUCUAAAAUUAAGACCAAUAUCAAGACUCACAUUUUUAUCUUUCAAUAAAUUUGAAAGAAGUUUUUGUCGCAAGCAAGCUAAUCCUCCCGGUUUUUGUGACUCUUCUCUAACAUUUUCAAGGAAGCAAGAACCUUCAAAAUCGCUAGAGAUUUUGUCGAAAGUAGCUCUAGCGAUUGUUGUUUUGCCUAUACCACCAAUGCCCCAAAUCCCUAAAGCGUAAACAUCUUUCGACUGAACACCUAGUAGAGAUUCAAUUUCCUCAACUCUUGAUUCUACUCCAACCAGCUGGUUUUGUUAUCAUUCCGCCGAAAAACUUGAUCCAGCAGUCUCUUUAAAAUGUGAUUAACAACUUCGUUUAUAAGUUCCGAUUCAGGCCUACCAAAUACAUAAAAUUAGCAGCAGUAACUUCAAAUAGAAGGGACCGGAUUUGCAUAAAAUAUGAAAUAAAGGAGAUUGCUAGUUUUCCAAUUGAAAUUAAUAUACCACUUUUUUUUUCAUAAGGAUAAUAUUGCAAAGUGAUGGUACAGGAGAGUUAUUAAAUAUUAUAAAAAUAGUCAAAAUAAGUGGUAUAUAUUGAUUUGAGUAAGGAAAUUUCCAAUCUCCCUAUAAAUUAAUAACUCUUUAAUUACAGGAAUAUGUUAUAUGUGGAAGAGAUUUUUUUUUUCCUAGUGGUAUAUGAGUAAGAGAUUGAAAUUGAUUAAAAAACGACAGAACACCAUUAAUUUUGUUAAAAUAUAUUGUAAACCUCUGGAGCUUUUAUUAGUAAUUCUGCAAAAAAUCUUUUAUAGGAGUUCAAAAGUGGGGAAGUUCAAGAAGUCUAGAAUUUGAUGCAUGAAAAAAUUUAAAAGUGUAGUUUAUCAUCUGGAAAUUUAACUAAGAGUGCUACGUGAAUUUUAUUUACAGUGUUGAAUAUGAGUAUGCGAAAUUAAAGUAACUUUUCACCUGAUGUUAAGAGAAUUAAAGCCAGACAAAGUGACUGCCUCCCUCAAAGCAUUCCUCCAAGUCAGCAGCUUCUUUGAAUUCUCCUUAAAUCUUUCUUCAAGCUUCGAAAAUGAAUCCCCAAAACUCCCAGUUUGGUUUCUCACGUCUGAUGGAUCAACCCGAUAGAAAACCGGAAUCACAAUCUGUGCAUACUCUUUCUUGCACUCGAGGAUCUUGACAAGUUCAUCGAGACACCAUCUGGAAGAUGCAUACCCUUCUGAGAAGACGAUAACUGAAACGGCUGAUGCUUCAAUUGCAUUCACAAGUGACUCCGAAAUUUCGUCUCCUCUGUUAAGUUGGUCAUCAAUGAAAGUUUGGAUAUUUUGUCGACACAGAGCAGAAUAGAGAUGGCUAGUAAAGUUGUCUCGGGUGUCCUCUCCUCUGAAACUAAGAAAAAGAUCAUCCUUCUUGUUGUUUCCAUAAGAAGAAGCCAUAAUCAACAGAAACAGUUGAAUUGAUUAGGGAGAGAUUUUGAUUCAGAUGAAAACAAUUAUUGAACCAAAUGUGCGCGACUCUGUACAAUAAAUCGAUGCCAUGAGCCUUCCUUCAAGUUCCGUGAUAGUUUUCAAUUUCAUCUCAUUGUCCAAGCACCGUGCACUCCACGAUGAUUGAUUAAUUCCACUGCUUUGUAGACUUUUAGCUGAAAAUUCCACACGAACACCAUACUUUUCAACACACGUGCUUCUGUGCUUUAAUACUCAUAACUGCCAGCAAUAAGUAGGGUAAUAUUUUAAUUUUUAUCUCUGAAUUUAUCUUUUCGGUCCUCAUCUCUCAAUUAAUUGUAUUUAGUUUCAAAAUUGUUCUUUUUUUUUUUUGUUUUAGUAGCUCUUAUUCAUGUUCCUUAGGGUUGAUUGUUAAGCAUAUAAAGUCUAACUUUUAAAAAAAAAUUAGUUAUUUAUUUUUUAUAACUUAUAUAUGAUUUUUAAAUAUUUAUAUUUAAAUUAAAAAAGUAAUUUUUUUUUGUGACCUUUGCCUAAAUGAAAAAUGUAUGAAUGGAAAAUAAAUAGUAUAUUCAAAGAUUAUUUCUAUUCAAUAUUGUUAUUUCCUAAACUAUAAACGGGUCACAUGUGGCUAAUUGUCAAAGCAAUAGCAAGCUGUUAGCUUAAAGCAAAGCACAUUCAUGCUUCACCCAUGAGAAUACAACCAAUUCUAAUGCAUGUAUUGUGACACACGUGCAAGCUAAAAGGAGGCACAUGUGGUUAAUUGUCAAAGCAAUAGCAAGCUGUUAGCUUAAAGCAAAGCAUGUGCGAAGCAUGUGCGUGCUUCAUCAAUAGAAUAUGUGAGUGGAUUAUUAUUAUUACUAUUAUGUAUUUUACAAAAUAUUUAUGUUUGAUAGUAUGAUUUAGUAUAAUGUUAUGAUUAAAUGUACGUACAUUAUAUGAUUGACUGAGUCAUAAGAUGUAAUUGACAGGCACCAUAUGUGUACAUUUCUCCAUAGGCUCUACGCAUGCGUAUUGAGAGUUAAAUUACUCGACCCUUGUGAUGUUGUUAAUUCUACUGAGUAUUGAGAGGUUUUUCCCCCUUUUUACUCGUGCGAUGAUGAUCCCAGUAAGUAUUGAGAGUUAUUUUCCAUGUAUAUUAUUUGGUGCAAUUUUGUCAUGUGUGUAUAUACGAGUUCAUGUUUGCUUUUGUAAAGCGUUCAGUGUAAAGUUAUGUCAUACAAUUAUGACGAGCACUAAAGCACUAAUUUAUUUUUAUAUAUAAUUAUAUUCAUUCAUUGAGCCGCAAGCUUAAUAUUUUCCUAUUUACCCCAUUUCUCUAAGGUUUCCAUAGGAUUUCGUGUAGUUCAAUUUCUAAUCAAUUGAGGUUGGGCCACGACACACAUUACUGCACGACUUACAUUUUGACCACGUUUAUGUUUAUAUGUAUAUUUUUGAAGUGUAUGUAUGUACAGUGAGAUAUGAACUAUGUAAGUUUUUAAUAAAAUUUUGAAUGAGGCACAUAGAUUAUUAUCUGUUUAUAACAAAGGGCAAGGCUAGUGUUAUAUAUUCCUGAAUUAAGUUUAUGUCAUGAGCUUUAGAUAUAAAAUUGCAUGAUUCACCCCAAAUCCAACAGAAGGGUUGAGGCAGUUUGUGUCAUGUAUGAUAUGUACAUAUUUAUAUUCAAUAUAACCACCAUUUGAAUGAUAGUUUUUUAAAAUCAAUGCACAUGUUUCGUAGCAUGAUUCACUUGUUGUAUGCCUACACAUGGUACUUUUGAUGUAUUCUAAAAUUUCUUCUUUAGUUAGAGGCAUUUGUUUUAAAAUUUUAUUUAAAAGAAGGUCAUUUUAAAUUUUAAAAUGUGAAGUGUAUUUUCUACAUCACUAAAGGAUGAAAUAGCCUUCAAUAUAGAUUUCUUAAUAAAUUUUAAGAGAACUAACAGAAAGUGGUUAUCUCAUUCAUGGUUAUUAAAUCAAAAUUUGAAUUAGAUCAUCACUGGUCCAAAAUAAACUAUCGUCAUUUCAAAUUGAAGCAUGAAACCGUGAAUGGAUGCAUCUUUAAAUAAAAGGAUACAUUUUUAUUACAUAUGUCACUGUUUAAUUAGACAUAUCUUUACAGUCGGACACAUUUUUAGAGCACCAUUUAUAUUGAAAAUAUUCCAGCAUAAAAUAUGUCCCUCUCCUUAUACAAGUAUUUUGCAAAUAAUACAGAGCCACCACGAGUUCAAAAAUAAUAAAACAAUAACAUUGCUCACUUGCUCGACUGGGCUGGAUUGGGCUGAUUGGGCUGGGCCUGCCAUAAGAAUGUGUAAGUACGAAGCUUUGCUUUCAUCAUCGCAUACACGGUGAGGGAAAUUGAAAUUGAUGAGGGCGCUGGCCGCUCAAUUCCUGCUUCGGAUUCCCCAACUCGGAAUAUAAUCUAUACCGUCGUACAAGCAUCGUCGGGACUUAGAAGAAUUACUUAGAAUUGACCGACGAUGAGCUGUUUCGCGAAUGCGAAAUGGACGCGUACAAAUCGUCGGGACCAGGCGGUCAGCACCGCAAUAAGCGCGAAUCCGCCGUACGUCUCAAGCACGUACCUACCGGCGUCAUAGCGCAUGCCGCCGAAGACCGAUCGCAGCACAAGAAUCGCGCGUCAGCUUUGUAGCGCCUCCGCACUCUUUUGGCCCUCAAAGUGUGGCCGUCAGUGCUUGAUGGCUUAUUUUUAAGUAGCUUUAAAGCAUAUUUGGCUCUUUGUUUAUGAAUAAUGUUCAAUAGCAACCUGCUCCAUUGAUAAGAGAAAUGUAUGAUAUAAUUUUUCAAGAUACCUACCUGCAUUAUGAAUUGUUAUUGGAAGGAAGUACGACAAUAAAUUAAGAGCAAAGACUGAUUUAAAGAUGUAUCUUCAUUAUUACAUGAAAUGUAUGUUCUGCUUCUCAUUCACUUUACCAGAAUUACAAAAGUUUUAUGUUAUUGAUGGUUGGAUUGUUUCUGGGUUAUCCUUGUUAUUAUUUUUUUUGUUUUAAUUGCUUUAGAUACAUUUGAAACAUGAAAAUUUUAAAAAACUUUCCGAUUUGUGCAGGGUAUGAAGCCUCUUAAGUAGGACUUCUUUGGUGCUACUAUUGUGUUCGGCAAAUAUUUUCUUCUUUUAUUUUUCUUUUUUCAGUCACCAUAAUGGGGGUCAUGGUGAAACAACUUACUAAUCACUCUGGACAGGAAUGGGCUUCUAUAAGUAAAGCACACUUAUUUCACUCUUUCCUUAGUACUCACCUAAAGGGGUUAUGGUUGCGACAUGCCUGGAUGGAAACAACCAAUUGUAUCCGUUAGCCAUUGAGGUUAUGGAUUCGGAAAACAAUGAUGCUUAGGAAUGGUUUAUGACGAAAUUACAUGGAGUAAUUGGUGAUACGCCGGAGUUGGUAUUUAUCUCAGACCGAUGCACCGCGAUCAAGAGAGCCGUUUUAAAAGUAUUUCGCUCAGCUGCCCAUGGCAUUUGUUUUUACCAUGUCAAAGACAAUGUUAAGUCAAAAUUCAAGAUGUCGAACUUUAGGUACAACUUUUCCUUUCCUUUUGAAGGCCCACUCCACUGGCAUAGAGAGUAAAAAGAGUUUCUUAUAAAUAAUUUUAGGAGGAUGCUUCUGCCACGACAAGUAAUACCAUAAACAAAUGAUUUCACCACAUUUCAAGAAAGCAUUUAACUUAUGCCUCAUUUUCAUUCUAGCAAUUUGCUUGCCAUUGGCUGAUUGGAAAAAGUGCAUUUAAGUGAUAGAUUACUGUCAACCUAUAGCACGAAUAGGGGUUAAACAAAGUAAAUCCCUAUCUUUACAUGUCAAAUAACAGACUUUCAUAAUAUCAAAUAUCAAAACUCAUGUCUAGUAAAGGAUUCCCCAAUGCUGGCUCUCAAAAUUGCUUUUGUUUCAUGGAUGAGAUGAUCGUUUUUGUGGAUAUUCUGCUCAACUUGGAUUAUGACUUGACUAAAUCUUAGUUGAUUUGCUUUUCCAAACUAAAUCCAAGCAAGUAAGUACAAGAGAUAAAAGCAAAAGUUCAAACAUCUCAUUUGAGCCUGUCACUAACAAAUGGUCAACGAGCAAUGUCUAGCUAUGACUGAGCAACAGAAUCAAUAAACAGACAGACAAAAAAUAAUAAUCAAGUCAUCUGUCAAAUGCUAGUCCAUGAAAAUCAUAUAUAUAUAUAUAUAUAUAUAUAUAUAUAUGUAUGUAUAUGUAUAUGUAUAUGUAUAUGUAUAUGUAUAUGUAUGAUCAUUCAUUUCUCAAUCAACCACCAAAUUGAUGUCAACCAAGCCAGGAGGAUUGUCUCACAAGUCUUUCAAUUUCCCUCUCUUUAGGCCAGAGACCAGUAAACCAUUUGAAAUAUGGAUGUGCAAACCAGUAAAUAAAUCAUGAAGUUACACACUAGUCUGCUUUCGCACUCAUUCAGAACUAUCAAUGAUACUUACUGCAGCGCAGGUACGGUGUAUACAUUAUACUAAAGUGAAGGCUGGAUCAAUAAGAAAUUCAAAAUGUUUCAUCACAUUUGGGGCUUGAUGAUGCCAAAAAAAGACCAUACCAAUUAUGAUGAACAGUAAAAUGUGAACAAGAACAAGCAUACAUUUAAGAAAGCAGAGAAGCAUCAUUAAAAUAAAGUAUUCUUCUUACUAUUCUAUGUUGUUGGAAAAUGGACCAAAAUAAAAAAGAAACCAUGUAUGGUUAACGUCACAACAAGAGUAUUUGUGCAUUUGUACAUCAUAGGAUAUUGGGAAGACAUCAGUAGGGAAGUGCAAAUUUUUUUUUUUUUUUUUGAGGAAAGGAUCAGAGAAGUGCAAGUCAAAAAGGAGAAAAAAUGAAAACAGAGAGAUCAAAAGGAAUGCGAUCUAAUUAAUCGUCUAAGGAGACUACUAUGCUACAUUUAGCCAUUGGUUGAAUAGGCAGCUUGUUUUCUAGUACAACUUUAAAUUUUCCAAGAUUUAGAAUUUUCCUACUGAAGAAAACUAAUUUCUCAAGCUUCUAUUACCAUCUUCAUCCCAACGGUAAGCAGCUCCAUCCACAGCAAUCACUGGCCUCAUGCACUGCAUGAAACCCUUGAUAGAAGAGCCAAUAGCUACAAAAUAGUAUAAGAAAUUAUCAUUUCCAUCUCGCUGCAGGUGAGUAACUGUACCUUCAUUUGCUUUGGUCAAAACAUGAGAGUAUUUAGAAAGUAAGUUAUAUGACUCUGCAGGGUUGCCUCUAACUAUUUCAAGGCCAACUUCUUUGGCCCGAUAUGCUUGCUGAUAUGUUAAUUGGACACCGUAUUCAUGUUGGAUGUCUGCUCUGAUAUCAUUUGGAGUAUAUAUUCGUUUUUCUUGGAUGAACUUGUCCGCAAUAAUAUGACCAACAACCCGACUCCUUACUUGACGAACACCACCAGCCAAUACCUCAUUACAACAAGUGUGUACGUUGUCAACUCUUCUCACUAACCACGGAACAUUCUGCAUAUAGCCUAAUUAUUACACAUGAUAUUUUGCUGCUGCCAUACUACUUACAUGCGAGUGCUGAUUUUUAAACAGAAAUAUUAAACAGAGCACUGACAGAAACAGAGUUAACACCCGACCGGGUUACCGUGUUAAUUGAAAACAAUUAAUUAACAGGACAAAAACACGAUAAAUCUGGUGGUUUUGUAGUUAAUUCUGCCUGCCCUCUGUCAAUUUCUUUAGUAUUUUUCCUCAUAUAUUUGACAUAUUGACCUAUCUGUGGCUGGAAAGAAAAAUGAUUUAAGUAAACUUUCCAAAAUGUUUUAUCAUUAUUUUAUUUCUGAAUAUCAGCAGUGCAUCAUUUUGAAAAUGUAACUGUGGGGUUUCAGGAUCCUCUCGAGCCAGUUUUGUUGUUCACAAAACCCCUUGUGCCAGAAAAAUUGGACGCUGCAGGUAUUGUUCCGCCGUCAGAUUCUUCUACGAGGAAUGGCACUAUAGCACGAACUCACAAAUUUCAUGGAAGAAUUGGCCGAGGGGGGCGGAUAGUAUUUGAUAGAUGUAAUCCUCUUAUGCACUCCUCAACUGAUAGUGGCACGUCUUUUUACUUGCCACCAAAACCCCGCACAUCUAUGUACAGUUAAAUUGAAUACUCGUUUUGUUUAAGCUCCAGCAUUAUUCGUUAGGGAGCCAAGUGUAAUUAUGCUCCGGCUGAUAUUUAUGUAGUUAAAUUGAAUACUUCCAUUGUCCCAGCUCCAGCAAUUAUUUGUUUGGGAAGUCAAGUGUAAUUAUGCCGAGGGCAAGCAAAAUACUAGGCUUGAUGAAUCUUUUCAGGCUUGGUCACAGGUAUUUCAUGACGUGCAUCUUGCCUUAUUCUUUUUAAAGAAAUGACCUUGCCCUUAUUUUCCUUUCAAGUUUAAACUUAAUGAGCUUUUAUUACAUCCUUUAUUGUUGAAAUGCUUGUGCUAAUCAUAGUAUUUUCAAAAUUUUCAGCCCAGUUGAUUAUAAAUUUUGUGUGAAUGUUACAAGAUAAAACUUACCUUUAAAAUGUUAACGAACCUGUAGGAUUGGACUUCUCUUUAAGACCUUGAAUUAAGUGGAGGGUGUUUCGGGGUUAAUAAACCAGGAACUAUGCAUAUACUUGGCCAAUAAGGAAUCCUACUAGUACAGAAUAAGGUUGUACAAGACAGUUAAAUAGAUGACGCAAUGGAGACGUCUCUGUAUCGACUCAAUUCAAACUAAUUGUACAACUUCAUUUCUGAAGGAGUCACCAUUUUUAGUCCCAUUUGGAGAAUGUGUACGUCUGGUGUUAAUGCUUAUAAUGAAAAUGAUGCACUAUGAUGCACUCAGGUUCUUUGUCCUCUCUUCUCUUCUGGUUACUCCAACACUCUUUCUUGACGUGCCCUUUCUUGCCACAGUUGUAGCAUUUAACAUUCUUCUUACUUCUGGAUUUUGAUCUACCCUGAUUUUGACUCCCACUGGGGCCACGUUCCGUUGAUCUCCCUCUCGUCACCGAUAGCGCUUCUGCUUGCUGCGAACUUGCUUGUCUAUUUUCCUUAUUUUUCCGCCUGCUCUCCUCAUUUAAUACGGAGGCUGCAACAUCGUCGAAAACUAGACUCUCCACUGGAUUGUUGUUCGUCAAGUUGAUGAUGAGUUGAUCAUACGAAUCUGGUAGACUUUGAAGUAGAAGCUCUGCACGUUCAUUUUCCUCUAUAUUAUGACCCAACGUUGUGAGUUGUGAAAAUAGAGUCUUCAAGGUGUUGAUGUGGUCGGUCACCAUUGUAGAUUCCGCCAUUCGAAGAGUAUAAAGUCUCCUCUUUAAGAAGAUUUUAUUGUGUAGUGACUUGGCCUCGUACAAUUUUGUAAGAGUAUCCCAUAUUUCCUUCGCUGUGUUUUUCUCUGCCACACUAGAUAAUACUCCAUCUGCAAGUGCCAAGUGUAGAUCAGAAAUGGCGUUGCCGUCUACCUCGUUCCACUUGUCAUCAGUUAUCUCCAUGGGCCUUUCUCCAAUUGUUGCCAAGCAAUUAUUUUUCCUCAAUACAGCUUUCAUCUUCAUUUUCCACAACGAAAAAUUAUUUCCGUUAAAUUUCUCAAUUUCAUACUUUGCCGCCAUUUUGUUGAUAAAUACUGCACACAAGCUAGUAUACCACCUUGAAUAGUUGUGAGUAUGUGUGAGAAUGCACACCAGGAAAGUUCCCAGGAAAGACUGGAGGGGUCACAAUGGUCCCACUUAAAACCCAGACUCCUUAAGCUCUUAUCGCCUUUGUGACAGAACUUUCCUAGACAUGUACAGAACCACACAGUUGCUUUACUCACACCAUUAUUCCCUGCUUUGCACCGCAAAAUUCUUGGAUUGCUUCCACCGUUUCACGUGAAUAGUACCGUAUACGUGAAUAGUGAUGUAUACCGUAUACGUGAAUAGUAUCGUAUACUGUAUACGUAAAUAGUGCCGUAUGCCGUAUACGUGAAUAGUGCCGUACGCCGUAUACGUGAAUAGUGUCGUAUGCCGUAUAUGUGAAUAGUGCCGUAAACCGUAUACGUGAAUAGUGUCGUAUGCCGUAUACGUGAAUAGUGCCAUACGCCGUAUACGUGAAUACGUGAACAAUUCCUGACUCCAAAAAUACAACCAAUGGCUCUGAUACCACUGUUAGGAAAUUGGUGGGUGAAGCAGACACGCAGCUAAAGUAAAAUUGGUAGAAAAAUAAAGAACGAGCACAAUAGAGGACACCAGAAAAUUACGUGGUUCGGCUUUUAGCCUAUGUCCACGGGCGAAGACAGAAGGAAAUAUUUUACUAGUGAAAAGGAGUUACAAGUAUUGUAGUAUUUUAGCUCACUUCCCAAAACCCCAAUACACCCAAACUCUCUCAAUCACUGUAACAAGAGCUUAUAAAUGCAAGCUCUCUAAAUUCUCUCUCAACUUCCUAAAUUGCUCUCUGAAAUGGAAUUAAAAGUACUCUUCAUCUGUACUUCUAUUUAUAGCAAACUAGUGGCCAAGAAAAUCAAAGCCGUGUUCACCAAAUUCUUCAUCAAAAACCGUGUGCAGCAAAUUCAAUCUUCAAACUUUGAACAACUUGUUGUUGACCAUCUAGAUGGCUGCUUCAAACCAUCUAGAUGGCUGGCUGCUUUUGACAUAUGUUUGGUGUUUUUCAAUUUAAAAUUGUGUCUAAUAGUGUAUUUUCAGAAUUGGACUAUAAAAAUAGAAAUAGAGAAAAUGAUAUAAAAUUAAGGUAAUAUAGGACGAAAAAGUAUGGACAAGGAAGCAGUAAUAUUUGGUGUUUUUCAUUUUUUUCAAUAAAAAAAUGAAAACAAAAUUUUCAAUAUCUAUUCAUCAUUUUUUGGGAAAAAAAAAAGAAGCUUAAAGAAUAAAUGAAAGGGCGUUUUAAAACAAAAAUGUGAUUGGUGUUUGAAUAAUGACCCUCUCGGUUAGGCAAAACAGUCACAUAAUCAUUUUUUUUUAAAACACAAACCUUUUGGUUCAGAAAUAAUCACACAAAUCUCAAUCUUUUAGCUAAAAAAGAGUUUGUGUAUCUCAAAAGAGACAUGUGUGACAUUUUCUAAAAACAAAAUAUCUUUAUAGUUAUUUUGCCAAAUCACGUGGUGCCUUUAGAAAUAGGAUAGAUUUUAAUUUGCCCCCAAUUUAAAAUGAAAAUCUUUAAUUUAUCACCCAAAAGUAUAAAAAUAUCAAGUUACCCCAUUUAUUGUUAAGAGGAUUAAAACAAAAAAACCAUCAACACAUUCCUUAUUUGCCCCUCAUCUUUUGGACGGAAAUGAAGAAUAAAUUGAGGUUUACAUUGAGAGCAAAUUAGAGAUUAUCAUUUUAUUUGGGAAUGAAUUAAACUUUAUCCUUAGAAAUAAAAAAUUCAAGAGAAGUACAUCAAAAAAGGUAAUAUAGUUUUCACUUUUUAUGGAGUAUUUGGGUAAGGGUAUUUGCACCCCACUAUUUUUGUAAAUCCACCCUACUUCUAGAAACUAAUUGCAAUGAAUUCACAAUAUUUUUUUAAAAAAUACAAAUUAAUAAAAAUUUUGUAUAGUUAAUCAGUUAAAUCCUUCUAUUAAUUUUUUUCUUGGGUUUUUUGACCAUCUUUAAUCAUAAAAUUUUAAUACAAGUUUUAUUUUAGUAUUUUAUUAUUAUGAUAUAUAGCGACUAAAUUACCAUAAUAAACAUGAGUUAUUUUAAAAUAAAAUGUUGGAGAAAUAUUCAAGGGUAAUAAUAAUUGUGGAAAGAGUGGGACUAUUAGCAGCCCUCUAUAUACCUCUUGAGCCCUGCUUGGAUAGUUACAAUUAUAGAUUAAAUUAAAAUUAUGAUAAUGGACAAACAAGUAGAUAGUCUGAUUGGAUGUGGAAUGAUUUCAUUUGAAUUUCUCUAAAGUUUAAACCAACUUACAUUUUUUCCACAUUGAAAGAGGAAUAGGUGGAAAGGUUAAAAUUGUAAAAGAAUAUUAUAACAGUUUCGAAGAAGAAAUCUUUAUGACGCAUUUUUAACUUGGUGAAAAUUUUCAAUCCCAAGAACUUUAAGCAUACGAAAGAGUGGAUUCUCUCAUUUCCGCCAUUUGUGAGGAUGAUAGUAACGAAGAGAGAACUCACAGAUUUAGUAGUGACGAAGCGAGCAACAGCAGCAGGAGAGAGAUAACAGCAGCACGGAGGAAGAUCAACAGCAGUGAAAGAGACAGAGCAGCAGCACCAGAGUGGUGAAGAAGAGAGAAUAGCAACACGUGCCAAAGAUGGAGAAAAAGAGCGAUUAGAUCUAUGAUAAGGGAGAGUGAAUGGGAAGAUCGCGAUAAGAUUUUAGGCGAGAGAAAUAGCGGUCACGGAUAAGCCUUGGAUUCUCUAUUUUUUGAUUUAUUUUAGCUUUAUAUUUGUAAUUCAUUGAGAAUAAGUUAUACACGUUCUCAAAUUUAUAACUAUAAAAGAAGAUAUGAAUUAUUUGUUUUACAAUUUGUUUUUUGAAUUUCGGCCAUCAAUCGCGCAUUAACUUAGAUUUAUAAAAGGAAAAUGAAAACAGGGCCCAUAAAUAUUACCGAACAUGCCCUAAUAUUCUCCACUAAUGUGCCAUUUUAACCUCCUACAAAAGAGCUCCCAACGGCGUGGUUGGGUUAGUUGCAGUGAAGUUAUAUCCUCUACCAAAACUCGGGUUCGAUUUUUGGGGUUGGUAAGGAGGGUAAAAAUUGUAUUUGGGCUUGCCCACCCCCCGUACCUUUAAAAAAAGUUUAAAAAAAAAAACCUCUUACAAAAGCGGCUACUCAGAAUUCAUAAUUGACCUCAGAACUGCAGAUCAUACGAGAACCCACCAAUAAUGAAUAGGCGCUUAAUGCAUUUGUUUCGAUUGUGAUAGGCCUACUAGGGCCGAACCUAGUGCAAUCGAUGCCAAAAAAUGUCUAUAUAUACCUAUACUAGUUUUAUGGGGUGUUGAGGAUCCAUUCACCCUCUUUGAUGGACCUGCUGGUUAAUACUCCUCAUUUCUACCUUCUUAACUCUCAAAUGUGCAAGUUAAUUGUAUUGGAAGGAGUGGGACAUCAUCCCCAUGACGACAGACCCAAGGAGAUCCAUGAAAAGCUGCUUUCUCGGUUGGCUGAAACAUUUAAGUGCUGAGGAAUUUACUUUCUCAUCUGCAAGUUUUGAUGAGCAUUAUUUAUUAUUCCUAAUGUAAAAUGACAAACAACUCUUGUAUUUAUAGUGUUAUAUUUUUUUUUAUUCAACCGCUUGAAUAUCUUUUGGCAUCGAAAGAAUGUAGGAGAAACUGAUCCCUGACAAGUUGUAAAAGCUCCAAAUUGAUUCAAGAAAUGUACCAAAUUAUUCAAUAAAAAGUCAAAUUCAGCACAAUAAUAAAGAACAAAUUAAUCUAUAUUGCUCAUGUUAAUGAUAUGUGAAUGAUAAGAUUCAAUUUUUCAUAUGAAAAAGAUACAAUAAUCUAAAUAGAAAUAAAGGUUCAUGGGCAUCUUUAACCUUUCCUUACAAGCUAGUUUUUUAAAGGUAAAUUCUACCCAUAGAUGAUACCACGUCAACUAUGGAAUCAAAUGAAACAUUUCGAAUAUGGAAUUGGUAUAAAUACUUGAAAGAGUGGAUACAUGUUUGUUGAUACAUAAAUCUAGUUGAGCUAUGUAGCGACCAGACAACCAGGCCAACACUUAAAUUUGUUGUUAUUGGAGAGACGGUUCUAUGCUAUUUCCUCACUAUCGAAUAAGUUCUUGCGACCUCAAGUACUUCCUUCAAGAACACCUACGUUUAUAACAUCUAGUUAGAGGAUGCCUGAGGUUUUUCCGGCGUGAACCCUCCGACGCUUAAGUGGGCGAUCUGGGUCUACUUGAAAAAACUCGUGACAUGAUUCACGUGACUUAAUUACAACUACUCUGAAUGAAAAAAAGGUUUAAUUUCAUAAAAAAGGAAAAAUAGAGAAGAUAAAAUUGUGAAUAGAGAGAGUAUGAAAAAAUUAAGUAAAAAAUUAUCUAAACCCCUUACCUCUAUUCUCUAAAGCUUUAAUAUCCAACCAAAAUUAUCGGCCUCCUCUCUCCCCCAACACCGUUGCUGGGUUGGUCACAUAACUGUGGGAGAGUAGGUAGCGUAACUGCUAGUGAGUGGGCUUCAUGCUCGAAUUCUUUGGAGGAAACCCAUGGGUUGACCUUUAACCAAGUCGUCGAUUUGACUUAACUCUAGUCUCUCCUCGUGCUUCCUCGAGCCGACUUUGCUCAUGUGACCAGCCACACACCUCAUCGGGGAUAAUCUUUCUCGAUGAGUCAUUUUAGGCCGAGGGGAGCACAUUUUGCUCAUGUGUGCCUGAUCAUGAUGUUUUUCACCCCAAAAUAGAUGUUUAAGCAAACUGAUUCAUAGAAAAAUUGAGUUGGUGAAAAUGACAUCUAUCAUGUUCUUUUUUUUAAAAUCAAUAUACAAAUAUGUUUUUUAAAAUAUAUAAGAUUUAACGGAGUUUAACUGUUCCCUCUUUAUUGCUUUUGCUUCCACAUGAUAAAACUUUCCCAUAUACAACAAUUUAGAUUUAACAAAAUAUAAAAUUUUCAAAUGUGAUUGCGUUAUAUACAUGAGAGUUGAUGUAGUGCGCAACGGGAUGAGUGGCAUGUGUUCAUUGGUUGAGAUAUGGGCCAACAACAUACUCUGUAAGAACUCGUUGCGCGUCCUGUAAUAUUCCAUGCCGCUGGCAAAUGAGUUUUUUCACUAGUUUAUAAUUCACAUGCUCACCUAAGUAGAUGUGUUUUGGGUUGCAAAGUCCAAUAACAAAUCGUUGUGGGUGGUGUGUGCAGAGCCAGAAAGAAGGCCAAUAGUUUUAAUUUUACAAUAUACAUCAUGUGCUUUUCAUACAUUAUACUCUUCACCUAAUAAGGUAAAGUUCAAUACUCUAGUGUGAAUUUGAAAGAAAGUUAAAAGCUGUUUGUUUCAAGAGAAAAUUUACAGAGGAAAAUUAAAGUUCUUAUUUCUUUUACUCUUUUUCCAUUACUUAACAACUGAACAUAUACAGCUUAUAUACUCGAAGAUAUUUACAUACACAUGCUAAAGGAACUAGUAACAAACAUUAACAACUUAUGCUGACUUAUUAAUUCCCGUAACUAAUUCUGCUGAUCUGGCACUGAUGAGCUGGCACAAUUAACUUGCUUCACUAACUAAGACUGAGAACUUCUUUGCCUUCCUGUUCUUCAUAAACGCAGCACAAUGAGCUUCCCUAAUAGAAUUUGCGUUACAUGCACCAGAUCCGUCGAAAGUUAUAACAUGAAUGUUUUGUUCCAAGAACUGAUUUUGGCACUUUCUUCUAUUAUUAAUAGUGAUUUGAAAAAGGAAAACAAUAAAAAUACAUUCAUGAAAAUCUCAGUCUUCUUCGUUAUAGUUGAAACAUCUGCUUGGGUCUUCCAUUGAAUUCGUAGAGUCUGCAAUGCCAAAAAAUUGGAUCCCACAUUUUUUCACUCCGCAACACUCACACUCCAAAGGUGGAAAAACAUUAAAGUGGAUUGUCUCAGGAAAGCAAUUGCAUUUCCAAAAACCAUUAAAAUCCUCUUCAUAGAACAAAUAGUAUCCCAAAUGUAAGUGAUCUGAUUCUAAAUAAUUAACUCUUCUUUGAAAUAACAGUGUGUCAUGCGGAUCACAAUCUUUGGUGGUUUCCACUUUGAGCUCACAAGAAAAUGAAAACCAUCUACCAUAAUCUACAUGACGGCCUGAAAAUCCUAAAAUAGCACCAAAUGCAAAGCCCAGUACUCUGUUGUUAUUGAAGAAAUCUGGGGGCAUCUCUAACGUUAUAAAAGAUCCCACACUUUGAAAAUUAAACCACCUUGGAAUUUCAUUCCCAGCUAGUACGUAAUGGCCUUCCUUGGGAAAACCUCUCUAUACCAAAAGAUCAAAAUUUUAAACCCAAAAAAAAGGUAUAAAUUGUAAGGAGAAAGAAUUAAGACACACCUUUUCCCGUACUUCUUUCCAAUGGGCAGGUACCACAUGGCCCAUAUAUUGAAUUCUCAUGUCAUCUUCAAUAAUUCCUGCAGUAGUAUUACCUUGCAAUUAAAAAUUAUUGCUCUAGUAAAAAAACAUUGCCUAUAAGAUUCAGAACUUAGAGAAUAAACCUGUUAAUGAUUGUGGUGCCGAGUAAUGAUCGGCAUCUAACCAUCGUACAAGGAAUAGAGGCUUUGGUAAGGAUUGAAGCCCCUCACAAUAAUCGAAGAGGAUGUAUCGCAACAUAAAUUGUUGGAUAAUGCUUUCUGGUAUUCUCUCAAUAUUGGUUUUCAAUAGAUUCACUACUAAUGGCGACGAUAACUGGCCAAGCCAUUCGGGCAAUCUCUGAAGAUUUGAGCAACCACGGAGACUAAGAAGUUCAAGAGACUUCAACUUACAGAGGCUGCUUGGGAGACUCUUAAGCCUUUUACAAUCCGAAAGGUCUAACAACCAAAGCCUAAGUAGAAGCUCAAAUGAUGAGGGCAGUUCUUCAAUUGCAGUUCCACUUAAAAAUAGCCGGCCUAUGUUACCAGAUGAGAUCUCUGGAAGCCUCUUCAACUUUGAACAACCCGAAAGAUCAAGUUCGGUAAGAAAUUCCAAAUUAAACAUUCCAGCUGGAAGACUUUUCAGGGUUUUGCUACCGCUUAGAUUCAAGAUAACUAGCUUGUUCAGAUGUGGAAUCAACGUGGGGUUUAGAGUUUUGGGAAUUAGCUUCUUGCAGGCAGCAUGGAUUAGCUGGUUUAACUUACUAUAAUGCUGCUCGGUCAAAAAAGAGGCAAAGAUAAAAUCAUUAUUAUGCAUGAUAAUUUAAUGUUCUUAUUGAAAUAUUGCACAUAUAUAUUAAGAUAAACAUACCUUCACACCAUUCCAAAGUUGUUCAAUGUCGCUAUUAGGCACUUCAAGAAACACAAGCUUCUCUGCACUAUGGUUUGAAGGCAAUGACUUCAACGGAUAUCCAUGCCAGUGAAGAUAUUUCACUUCAGCAAAUCUGAGGUCUUGCAAAUGAGACACCUUGCAUUUGUUCUCCCCAUUGAAUGAUGAACUAUAGAAUUUUAAAAAUCUCAAUUUACGCAUCUUUGCGAAAGUAAUGGGAUUUAGAUGGAUCUCUUUUACUUUUGCCAUAUCCAAACAGAUGCCCUCAAUUUUUUCUGUCCCCUAAAAAUAAAUAGAAAAAUCAAUAAAGUUAACAUCAAAUGAAAAAUGAUAUUUAUAUUCCACUAGUGAUUAACACUUCAGCUCCACCAAGACAAAUUUUUGGGGCAAGUUUGUCACUCAUUCACAAUUAAAGGUAGCUUAGUUAUUAAUUCAACUUUAAUUUGUCCUUGUGUGGAGUUUAUGUCAGAUUGGAGUGGGGUUCUCCAUCAUUACUCAAAUUAAAUUUCAAUAAUUCAUGUUUAUUGUUAUUGCUAGGCAGUUAAACUCUUAAUUGCAAAUGCACAAAGAAACAUAAUAGUACAAGUAAUACUUAACAUAAAAAUUCUGUAUGUGUACUAUACAAAUUUAUAUAUCAAUUAUGCUUGAAAACGGUUAUGCAAGUUGUCAACCGCAUUUAUAAUUUAUUGCUACAUCACCUAACCACUAUUGUUUUUUCCGAUCAUUGUGACUCUUGUAUUAAUUCUAAGACUCAUUUGUUCGAGCGUAAAUAAAUAUAUUCACAUCAAGUUUUGAAACACUACAAUAUUCCAAAAUAAUAAUCCACAACAAGCUGCUUACCGUAUUAUACGUAAGAACUUCAUAGAUAUCCUCAUGAUGCCACAAUCUACUGCGGUUUUCAGGAUUAAUUGAUUCUUGUCGAACAAUUUCCCUACCCAAUUCUUGUAGUAAAUCAUGCAUUGUUAUCUUUUUGUGUGAAUCAAUAGCGAUGAGAGACUUAUCAACAAGAACACUUAUUCCUAUUUCUGGGUAGAAGCCGCUUGCAUUAAAGAAUUUCAUUAUAGGAUUUACAUGCUCACCUCGAAAGAAACAAGCAACAUCAAGGAAAAUACUUUUCUCUUUAUCGUCCAAAUCAUCAUAACUUAUUUUUAAUACCUCUAGAAUACUUGGAUGGAGGAUUCUUUGCAAUUUAUCUAUUGCGCUUUCCCAGACUUCUUUUUCCCUUUUAUGUAGAAAGCAACCCAAAACUUUAAGAGCUAAAGGAACACCUUGUGCAUAUUUCAUUACUUUGCUUGAAAAAUCCUCAUAACCAACAUCAGGAUGGUUUUGUUUGAAGGCAUGUCGACUAAAAAGCUCAAGAGCGUGAUGAUAUUCUAAUGCCUGCAUCUCAUAAAUUUUCCUCACCCCCCAAUUUCGAAGCACUUGUUUAUUUCUGGUGGUUAUUAUAAUUCGACUCCCAGGCGUCAACCAAUCAAGACUUCCGAUUAAGGAUUCUAAUUGGUUGAAGAAAGUCACAUCAUCAAAAACAAUCAGAACCUUCAUACGGCUGAGCCUUCUAAAAUUGAGGUCAAUAUAAGGCAUCACAUCUUUAUCCUUCAAUAAAUUUGAAAGAAGUUUUUGUCGUAAGCAAGCUAAUCCUCCUGGUCUUUGUGACUCUUCUCUAACAUUUUCGAGGAAGCAAGAACCUUCAAAAUCACCCGAGAUUUUGUCGAAAAUAGCUCUAGCAAUUGCUGUUUUGCCUAUACCACCAAUGCCCCAAAUCCCUAAAGCAUAAACAUCUUUCGACUCAACACCUAAUAGGGAUUCAAUUUCCUCAACUGUUGAUUCCACUCCAACCAGCUGGUUUUUGUUAUCACGGGGCUGAAACACUUCAUCCAAUCUCUUCAAAAUGUGAUUAACAACUUCAUUUGUAAGUUCCGACUCACACCUAGCAAAUACAUAAAAUUAGCCAAAGUAACUUCAAAUUAAUACGAGGAAUUUGCAUUAAGUAUGAAGUAAGGGAGAUUGUCAGUUUUCUUAUUGAAAUUAAUAUAUACCACCACUAGUCUACAAUCUCCCAGUAAAUUAAUAACUCUUAAAUUACAGGAAUAUGUGUGAGUUUUUUUUUUUUUUGGAAAAAUUAUCACUGCACUACCUCUCUUUUGUCUUAUAUUCAUCCAACCACCACAAAAUUAUAACAUAUUCUUUACACCACCUUUUUUUUUUAAAUUUAUAUCAAUUAGCCACUUUUGCACUAACACCGUUAAAUAAUUUAAACAAAAUGAUAAAUUUACCUCUAAAUAAACUAAAAGAUCAUUUUAUUUUAUAAAAGCUUGGAAAAAUAAAAAAAAAUUAUAAUUAAAAAAAUACCCCUAAAUUUAAUAAAAAAAAUCUCAAAUAGAGGUGCUCAGCUAAUUUUAAUUAAAUUUAGAUUUUAUAAAAUUUUAAUAAUUAUGUUUUAUUAAAAAUUAUAAUUUUGUAAUAUUUUAAUAAAAAUAACUGAAUUUAUUAUUAAAAAAUUAUAAUUUUGUAAAAUUUAAUUAAAAUAACUGAAUUUAUUUAUUAAAAAAUAAAUCCUAAAAUUUUAAUAAUUUAGGGGAUUUUUAUUAAAUCCCAAAAUUUUGUAAUUAUUUUUAUCAUUUUAAUUUUUUAUUAAAAUAAUUUUUAUUAUAAUAUUGGGAUUUAUUUUUUAAUUAAAUUUAGGGAUAUUUUUAUAAUUAUAAUUUUUUUAUUUUCUUAGUUUUUACAAAAUAAAAAUGGUCUUUUAAUUUAUUUAAUGGUAAAAUUUUCAUUUCAUUUAAAUUAUUUCAUGGUGUUAGUGCAAUAGUGACUUAUUGAUACAAUUUUUUUUUUAAAAAUGUGGUGCAAAGAACAUGUUAGAAUUUUGUAGUGAUUGGAUGAACAAUAGGUAAAAGGAAGGUGGUGCAAUGAUAAUUUUUUUUUUUUUUUUUUCCUAAUGGUGGUGUAUGAGUGAGAGGUUGCAAUUGCUUAAAAACCGACAGACCACCACUAAUUUUGUUAGAUGUAUAUUGUAAAAUUCUCGAGCUUUUAUUAUUAAUUCUUUCAAAAUUAUUUUAUAAUUAUGGGAGCACAAAAGUGGGGAAGUCAGGAAGUCUAGAAUUUGAUGCUUAAAAAUUUUUAAAAUUGUAGUUUAGCAUCCGGAAAUUUAACUAAGAGUGCUGCGUGAAUUUUAUUUAUUGUUAAAUAUUAGUAUGAGAAAUUAAAGGUUUAACUUUUCACCUGAUGUUAGGAGAAUGAAAUCCACACAAACUUGCUGCUUCCUCCAAAGCAUUCCUCCAACUCUGCAGCUUCUCAGUAUUCUCCUUUAAUCUUUCUUCAAGCUUCGAAAAUGAAUCUCCAAAACUCCCAGUUUGGUUUCUCACGUCUGAUGGAUCAACCCGAUAGAAAACCGGAAUCACAAUCUGUGCAUACUCCUUCUUGCAGUCGAGGAUCUUUACAAGUUCAUCGAGACACCAUCUGGAAGAUGCAUACCCUUCUGAGAAGACGAUAACUGAAAUGGCUGAUGCUUCAAUUGCAUUCACAAGUGACUCUGAAAUUUCAUCUCCUCUGUUAAGUUGGUCAUCAAUGAAAGUUUGGAUAUUUUGUCGACACAGAGCAGAAUAGAGAUGGCUAGUAAAGUUGUCGCGGGUGUCCUCUCCUCCGAAACUAACAAAAACAUCAUACUUCUUGUUGUUUCGAGAAGAAGAAGCCAUAAUCAACAGAAACAGUUGAAUUGAUUAGAGAGAGAUUUUGAUUCGGAUGAAAACAAUUAUUGAACCAAAUGUGAGCGACUCUGUAGAAUAAAUCGAUGCCAUGAACCUUCCUUCAAGUUCCUUGAUAAUUUUUCAAUUUCGUCUCAUUGUCCAAGUACCGUGCACUCCACGAUGAUUGAUUAAUUCCACUGCUUUGUAGACCUCUAGCUGAAAAUUCCACAUGAACACCAGACUUUUCAACACACGGCUUCUGUGCUUUCAUACUCAUAACUAUCAGCAACGAGGGGCUGAUAUUUUAGUUUUUAUCCUCAAUUUAUCUAAAUUGGCAAGACGCAUUUUAGGGUGUAUAGGCACUCUAAAAACAAAAUCGUGCAGACCUUGUUAAGGCCCAAAGCUACACAAUGUAGGAGAGAAGGCCAAUAAUUUUAAUUUUACAAUACACAUCAUGUGCCUCUCAUACGUUAUACUCUUCAUCUAACAAGGUAAAGUUCAAUACCCCUCGAAAGUUAUUACAUGAAUAUUUUGCUCCAAGUACUGAUUUGGACAUUUUCUCCUAUUAUUAAAAGUGAUUAGAAAAAGGAAAGAAAUAAAAAUACAUUCAUGAAAAUCUCAGUCUUCUUCGUUAUUGUUGAAACAUGUGCUUGGAUCUUCUAUUGAAUUCGUAGAAUCUGGGAAGCAAAAAAAUUGGAUCCCACAUUUUUUCACCCCGCAGCACUCACACUUCAAAGGCGGAAAAACAUUAAAGUGGACUGCCUCAGGAAUGCAUUCGCAUUUCCAAAAACCAUUAAAAUCCUCUUCACAGAACAGAUAGUAGCCCAAAUGUAAGUGAUCUGAUUCUAUAUAAUUAACUCUGCUCUGAAAUAACUGUGUGUCAUGCGAACCACAAUCUUUAGUAGUUUUCACUUUGAGCUCAAAAGAAAAUGAAAACCAUCUUCCACAAUCUACAUGACGGUUUGAAAAUGCUAAAAUAGCACUAAAUGCAAAGCCAUGCACUCUGCUACUAUUGAAGAAAUCUGGUGGCAUCUCCAAGGUUAUAAAAGAUCCCACACUUUGAAACUUAAACCACUUUGGAAUUUCAUUCCCAGGUAGUACUAUAUGAGCUUUGCCCAUGGAAAAACCUCUCUGUACCAAAAAAACAUAAUUUUAAACCCAAAAAAACAAUUGUAGAAAUUUUAAACAAAGAGAGUUAAAGACACACAUUUUCCUGUAUUUGUUGCCAACGGACAGCUAGCUUAUGGUCCAUAUGCGGAAUUCUCUCGGGAUCCACAACAAUUCCUGCAGUAUAAUUGCCUUCCAAUUUAAAAUUAUUGCUCCGGUAAAAAAAAAUUGCCUAUAAGAUUCAUUACUUAGAGAACAAACCUAAAAAUGGUUGCAGUACCAGGCGACGUCGUUCAAGGAAUGGAAGCUUUGGUGAGGAUGGAAACCUUUCACUAUAACUUAAGAAGAGGUAUCGCAACACGAAAAGUUGGGUAAUUCUUUUUGGUAUUCUCUCAAUAUUGGUUUUCGCUAGAUUCAAUAAUAUUGGCGAGGAAAAUUGGCCAAGACAUUCGGGAAAUCUUUGAAGAUUUGAGCAACCACAGAGAGUAAGAACUCCAAGAGAUUUCAACUUACAUAAGCUGCUUGGGAGACUCGUAAGCCUUUUACAAUAUGAAAGGUCCAAGUACUUGAGCCUAAGUAGACGCUCAAUUGAUGAGGGCAGUUCUUCAAUUGCAGUCCCCCUUAAAAAAAACCAGCUUAUAUUACCUGAUGAGAUCUCUGGAAGCCCUUUCAGUUUUGAGCAGCCCGAAAGAUCAAGUUUGGUAAGAAAUUCGAAGUUAAAUAUUCCAGAUGGAAGACUUUUCAGGUUUUUGCUACCUCUUAGAUUCAAGAUAACUAGCUUGUUCAGACGUGGCAUCAACGUGGGAUUUGGAGUUUUGGCAAUUAGCUUAUUGCAGGCAGCAGGGAUUAUCUGGUUUAACUUGCUAUAAUGCUGGUCGGUCAAAAAAGAGGCCAAGACAAAAUCGUUACCACGUAUAAUAAUUUAAUGUUGUUAUUGAAAGAUUGCACAUACAUAAUAAGAUAUGCAUACCUUCACACAAUCCCAAAGUCGUUUAAUGUCACUAUCAGGCACUUCAAGUAACACAAGUUUCUCUGCACUAAGGUUUGAAGGUAAUGACUUCAACGGAUAUCCAUACCAGUGUAGAUAUUUCACUUCACCAAAUCCCGGAUCUUGCAAAUAAGAUAUCUUACAUUUGUUCUCUCCAUUGAAUGACGAACUAUAGAACUUUAAAAAUCUCAAUUUAGGCAUUUUUGUGAAAGUAUUAGGAUUUAGACGGAUCUCUUUUACUUUUGACAUAUCCAAACAGAUGCCCUCAAUUUUUUCUGUCCCCUAAAAAUAAAUAAAAAAAAUAAAGUUAAAAUCAAAUGAAAGAUGAUAUGUAUAUUCCACUAAUGAAUUGCACUUCAACCCCACCAAGAAAAACAAUUUGGGGCAAUUUUGUCACUAAUUUACAAUUAGAGGUAACUUAGUUAUUAAUUCAAUUUUUAUUUAUUCUUGCAUGGAGUUUAUGUGGGAUUGGAGCGGGGCUCUCUGUCAUUACUCGAAUCAAAUUUCAAUAAUUCAUGUUUAUAGUUAUUGCUACGCAGUUAAGAAACAUAAUAACACAAGUAAUAAUUAACAUAAAAAUUCUGCAUGUGUAAUAAUUUUACAUAUCAAUUAUGCUUGCAAACGGUUAUGCAAAUUGUCGUCGCAUUUAUAAUUUAUUGCUACGUCAUCUAACCACUAUUGUUUUUUCUAAUCAUUGCCACUCUUCCAUUAAUUCUAAGACUCACGAGUGCGAGCGUAUGUAAAUAUAUUCACAUGAAGUUUUUAAACACUACAUUGUUCCAAAAUAAUAAUACACAACAAACUACUUACCGUAUUAUACGUAAGAACUUCAUAGAUAUCUUCAUGAUGCCAGAGCCUACUGCGGUUUUCAGGAUUAGUUGAUUCUUGUCGAACAAUUUCCCGACCCAAUUCUUGUAGUAAAUCAUGCACUGUUAUCUUGUUGUAUGAAUCAAUAGCAAUGAGAGAUUUAUCAACAAGAACACUCAUUCCUAUUUCUGGGUAGAAGCCACUUGCAUUAAAAAAUUUCAUUAUUAUAUCUACAUCCUCACCUUGAAAGAAACAAGCAACAUCAAGGAAAAUAUUUUUCUCCUUAUCGUCCAAACUAUCAUAACUUAUUUUUAAUACCUCAAGAAUACUUGGAUGGAGGAUUCUUUGCAAUUUAUCUAUUGCACUUUCCCAGACUUCUUUUUCCCUUUUAUGCAGAAAGCAACCCAAAACUUUAAGAGCUAAAGGAACACCUUGAGCAUAUUUCAUUACUUUGCUUGAAAGUUUCUCAUAACCAACAUCAGGAUGGUUUUGUUUGAAGGCAUGUCGACUAAAAAGCUCAAGAGCGUGAUGAUAUUCUAAUGCCUGCAUCUCAUAAAUUUUCCUCACCCCCCAAUUUCGAAGCACUUGUUUAUUUCUGGUGGUUAUUAUGAUUCGACUCACAGGCGUCAACCAAUCAAGACUUCCAAUUAAAGAUUCUAAUUGGCUGAAGCAAGUCACAUCAUCAAAAACAAUCAAAACCUUCAUGCGGCUGAGCCUUCUAAAAUUGAGGUCAAUAUAAGGCAUCACAUUUUUAUCCUUCAAUAAAUUUGAAAGAAGUUUUUGUCGUAAGCAAGCUAAUCCUCCUGGUCUUUGUGACUCAUCUCUAACAUUUUCGAGGAAGCAAGAACCUUCAAAAUCACCCGAGAUUUUGUCGAAAAUAGCUCUAGCAAUUGCUGUUUUGCCUAAACCACCAAUGCCCCAAAUCCCUAAAGCAUAAACAUCUUUCGACUCAACACCUAAUAGGGAUUCAAUUUUCUCAACUGCUGAUUCUAGUCCAACCAGCUGGUUAUUGUUAUCACCCCGCCGAAACACUUCAUCCAAUCUCUUCAAAAUGUGAUUAACAACUUCAUUUAUAAGUUCCGACUCACGCCUAGCAAAUACAUAAAAUUAGCCGCGGUAACUUCAAAUUAAUUAAUAGGAGGAAUUUGUAUUAAUUAAGGUAGAUUGUUAGUUUUCCUAUUGAAAUUAAUAUAUUCCACUAUAAGUCUACAAUCUUACAAUUAAUUGAUUAACUCUUAAGUUACAGGAAUAUGUGUGAUUUUUUUUUUAAUGGUGGUAUCUGAGUGAGAGGUUGAAAUUGCUUGAAAAACUACAAAGCACCACUAAUUUUGCUAUAUAAAAAUUGUAAAAUUCUCGCGCUUUUAUUAUUAAUUCUGUCAAAAUUAUUUUACAUGAGCACAAAAGUGGGGAAGUCAGGAAGUUUAGAAUUUGAUGCUUAAAAUUUUUAAAAUUGUAGUUUAGCAUCCGGAAAUUUAACUAAGAGCGCUGCGUGAAUUUUAUUUAUUGUUAAAUAUUAGUAUGAGAAAUUAAAGGUUUAACUUUUCACCUGAUGUUAGGAGAAUGAAAUCCACACAAACUUGCUGCUUCCUCCAAAGCAUUCCUCCAACUCUGCAGCUUCUCAGUAUUCUCCUUUAAUCUUUCUUCAAGCUUCGAAAAUGAAUCUCCAAAACUCCCAGUUUGGUUUCUCACGUCUGAUGGAUCAACCCGAUAGAAAACCGGAAUCACAAUCUGUGCAUACUCCUUCUUGCAGUCGAGGAUCUUUACAAGUUCAUCGAGACACCAUCUGGAAGAUGCAUACCCUUCUGAGAAGACGAUAACUGAAAUGGCUGAUGCUUCAAUUGCAUUCACAAGUGACUCUGAAAUUUCAUCUCCUCUGUUAAGUUGGUCAUCAAUGAAAGUUUGGAUAUUUUGUCGACUCAGAGAAGAAUAGAGAUGGCUAGUAAAGUUGUCGCGGGUGUCCUCUCCUCUGAAACUAACAAAAACAUCAUACUUCUUGUUGUUUCGAUAAGAAGAAGCCAUAAUCAACAGAAACAGUUGAAUUGAUUAGAGAGAGAUUUCGAUUCGAAUGAAAACAAUUAUUCAAUUUCAUGAACCUUCCUUCAAGUUCCGUGAUAAUUUUUCAAUUUCAUCUCAUUGUCCAACCACCGUGCACUCCACGAUGAUUGAUUAAUUCAACUGCCUUGUAGACUUUUAGCUGAAAAUUCCACACGAACACCAUACUUUUCAACACACGUGCUUCUGUGCUUUAAUGCUCAUAACUGCCAGCAAUAAGUAGGGUGAUAUUUUAAUUUUUAUCUCUGAAUUUAUCUUAUCCGUCCUCAUCUCUCAAUUAAUUGUAUUUAGUUUCCAAAUUAUUCUUUUUUUUUGUUUUAAUAGCUCUUAUUCAUGUUCCUUAGCGUUUAAAGUCUAAAAAAAAUUAGUUAUUUAUUUUUUAUAACUUAUAUAUGAUUUUUAAAUAUUUAUAUUUAAAUUAAAAAGUAAUUUUUUUUUGUGACCUUUGCCUAAAUGAGAAAAUGUUUCAAUGAAAAAUAAAUACUAUAUUCUAAGAAUAUUUCUAUUCAAUAUUGUUAUUUCCUAAACUAUAUUGUCAUAUGUGGCUAAUUGUCAAAGCAAUAGCAAGCUGUUAGCUUAAAGCAAAGCAUAUUCAUGCUUCACCCAUGAGAAUACAACCAAUUCUAAUGCAUGUAUUGUGACGCACGUGCAAACUAAAAGGAGGCACAUGGGUUAAUUGUCAAAGCAAUAGCAAGCUGUUAGCUUAAAGCAAAGCACGUGCGUGCUUCAUCAAUAGGAUCUGUGAGUGGAUUAUUAUUAUUAUUAUUACUAUUAUAUAUUUCACAAAACAUUUAUGUUUGAUAGUAUGAUUUAGUAUAAUGUUAUGAUUAUAUGUACGUACAUUAUAUGAUUGACUGAGUCAUGAGAUGUAAUUGACAGGCACCAUAUGUGUACAUUUCCUCAUAGGCUCUACGCAUACGUAUUGAGAGUUAAAUUACUCGACCCUUGUGAUAUUGUAAAUUCUACUGAGUAUUGAGAGGUUUUUCUCCCUUUUUUACUCGUGUGAUGAUGAUCCCAGUGAGUAUUGAGAGUUAUUUUCCCUGUAUAUUAUUUGGUGCAAUUUUGUCAUGUGUGUAUAUACGAGUUCAUGUUUGCUUUUGUAAAGCGUUCAGUGUAAAGUUAUGUCAUACAAUUAUGACGAGCACUAAAGCACUAAUUUAUUUUUAUAUAUAAUUAUAUUCAUUCAUUGAGCCGCAAGCUUACUAUUUUCCUAUUUACCCCAUUUCUCUAAGGUUUCCAUAGGAUUUCGUGUAUUUCAAUUUCUGAUCAAUUGAGGUUGGGCCACGACACGCAUUACUGCACGAAUUACAUUUUGACCACGUUUAUAUUUAUAUGUAUAUUUUUGAAGUGUAUGUAUGUUCAGUGAGAUAUGAACUAUGUAAGUUUUUAAUAAAUUUUUGAAUGAGGCACAUAGAUUAUUAUAUGUUUAUAACAAAGGCCAAGGCUAGUGUUAUAUAUUCAUGAAUUAAGUUUAUGUCAUGAGCUUUAGAUAUAAAAUUGCAUGAUUCACCCCAGAUCCAACAGAAGGGUUGAGGUGAUUUGUGUCAUGUAUGAUAUGUACAUAUUUAUAUUCAAUAUAACCACCAUUUGAAUGAUAGUUUUUUAAAAUCAGUGCACAUGUGUCGUAUCAUAACUCACUUGUUGUAUGGCUAACAUGGUACUUCUGAUAUAAUCUAAAAUUUCUUCCUUAGUUAGAGGCAUUUGUUUUAAAAUUUUAUUUAAAAGAAGGUCAUUUUAAAUUUCAAAAUGUAAAGUGUAUUUUCUACAACACUAAAGGAUGAAACAUCCUUCAAUAUAGAUUUCUUAAUAAAUUUUAAGAGAACUAACAGAAAGUGGUUAUUUCAUUCAUGGUUAUUAAAUCAAAAUUUGAAUUAGAUCAUCACUGGUCCAAAAUAAACUAUCGUCAUUUCAAAUUGAAGCAUGAAACCGUGAAUGGAUGCAUCCUUAAAUAAAAGGAUACAUUUUUAUUAUAUAUGACACUGUUUAAUUAGAUAUAUCUUUACAGUCAGGACACAUUUUUAGAGCACCAUUUAUAUUGAAAAUAUUCCAGCAUAAAAUAUGUCUCUCUCCUUAUACGAGUAUUUUGCAAAUAAUUUGCAAAUAAUACAGAGCCACCACGAGUUCAAAAAUAAUAAAACAAUAACAUUGCUCACUUGCUGGACUGGGCUGGACUGGGCUGAUUGGGCUGGGCCUGCUUUCAUCAUCGCAUACACGGUGAGGGAAAUUGAAAUUGAUGAUGGCGUUGGCCGCUCAAUUCCUGCUUCGGAUUCCCCAACUCGGAAGGAAAAAUAUAAACUUUCCGUCGUAUAAGCAUCGCGGGAAUUAUCAGCCAUUGUUGUUGUCUUGCAAUUACAGCACCAAUGACAAUUGUUCUUCAACUUCUUCUUCUUCUUCUUCUUCUUCGAAGAAUUACUUAGAAUUGACGGACGAUGAGAUGUUUCGCGAAUGCUAAAUGGACGCGUACAAAUCGUCGGGACCAGGCGGUCAGCACCGCAAUAAGCGCGAAUCUGCCGUACGUCUCAAGCACGUACCGACCGGCGUCAUAGCACAUGCCGCCGAACACCGAUCGCAGCACAAGAAUCGCGCGUCAGCUUUGUCGCGCCUCCGCACUCUUUUGGCCCUCAAAGUGAGGAGCAGUGUGAAUCUUGAUGCGUAUUCGCCGCCGCCACAGCUUCUUCAAAUCCUUCCUCCUAAGUCUACUAUUAGAAGUUCAGAAGUUGGUCCACAAAUUGGACCUAACAAUCCUAAAUUUGCUUUGGUAUUACUCUAUUCACUCUUGCUUUGUUUUUUUGUUUUCUGUUAAAAUUUAAGUCAUCGUAAUGUUUUUUUUUUUGGUUAACUUCAGGGAAUGCAAGCUCUGCUUGAUCUAAUUUUCGUAGGUUAAGCACUGGAGCAUUGUCACGGUUGAUUCUAUUGGAUGAUUCUCUUCGAAUGGCCGUGAAUGAGUUCAGGACUUCUAAGGUAUGCUAAUUCAUAGCUGAUAGUGUGUAUUACGAUAAGAUUCAACCUGUUGGUUAAUUUAAAAUUGUUAUAUUCUUUCUUAUUUGUGCAACAAAUAUAAUAAGUCUGUUUUUUGUGGUUGAGUGUCUGCGUCAGUGCCUGAUGGCAUUUUUUGUGGUUUAAGUAGCUUUAUAGCAUAUUUGGCUCUCUGUUUAUGAAUAAUGUUCAAUAGCAACCUGCCCCAUUGAUACGAGAAAUGUAUGAUAUAAUUUUUCAAGAUACCUACCUGCAUUAUGAAUUGUUAUUGGAAGGAAGUACGAGAAUAAAUUAAGAGCAAAGACUGAUUAAAAGAUGUAUCUUUCAUUAUUAAGCGAAGUGUAUGUUCUGCUUCUCAUUCACUUUACCAGAAUUACAAAAGUUUUAUGUUAUUGAUGGUUGGAUAGUUUCUGGGUUAUCCUUGUUUUUUUUUUUUGUGUUAAUUGCUUUACAUACAUUAUGUGUGUAAUUUUUUAAUGGACAAUCUUCAUUUGAAACAUGAAAAUUUUAAAAAACUUUCCGAUUUGUGCAGGGUAUGAAGCCUCUUAAGUAGGACUUCUUAGGUGCUACUAUUGUGUUCGGCAAAUAUUUUCUUCUUUUAUUUUUCUUUUUUCAGUCACCAUAAUGGGAGUCAUGGUGAAACAACUUACUAAUCACUCUGGACAGGAAUGGGCUUCUGUAAGUGAAGCACACUUAUUUCACUCUUUCCUUAGUAUGGAGCUGCUUACCGUUGGGAUGAAGAUGGUAAUAGCUGCUUUAGAAAUUAGUUUUCUUCAGUAGGAAAAUUCUAAAUCUUGGAAAAUUUAAAGUUGUACUAGAAAACAAGCUGCCUAUUCAACCAAUGGCUAAAUGUAGCAUAGUAGUCUCCUUAGACGAUUAAUUAGAUUGCAUUCCUUUUGAUCUCUCUCUUUUCAUUUUUUCUCCUUUUUGACUUGCACCUCUCUGUUCCUUUCCCCAAAAAAAAAUUUGCACUUCUCUGCUGAUGUCUUCCCAAUAUCCUAUGAUGCACAAAUGCACAAAUACUCUUGAAAUGUGGUGAAAUGUUUAUGGUAUUACUUGUCGUAGCAGAAGCAUCCUCCUAAAAUUAUUUAUAAGAAACUCUUUUUACUCUCUAUGCCAGUGGAGUGGGCCUUCAAAAGGAAAGGAAAAGUAGUACCUAAAGUUGUGAAAAGGAAGAAUUUGCAAGUCAAAAAUGAAUAUAUUAUGCAUGGCUACAUAAAUUGGUACAUAUAGCUUUUGCACCUAAUCUGAUUAUCUCGAUUCCUGGACCCAGAACUAAUAGCCUAAUUAUUACACAAGAUAUUUUGCUGCUGUCAUACUACUUGCAUAUAUGAAUGCUGAUUUUUAAACGGAAAUAUUUAACAGAGCACUGACAGAAACAGAGGUAACACCCGAGCCGGGUUACCGUGGUAAUUGAAAACAAUCAAUUAACACGAUAAAUCUGGUGGGUUUGUAGUUAAUUCUGCCAGCGCUCUGUUAGCUCCAGUAUUUGACUUAUUGACCUAUCUGUGGUUGAAAGAAAAAUGAUUUAAGUAAACUUUCGAAAAUGUUUUAUCCUUGUUUUAUUUCUGAAUAUCAGCAGUGCAUCAUUUUGAAAAUGUGACUAUGGGGUUUCAGGAUCCUCUCGAGCCAGUUUUGUUGUUCACAAAACCCCUUGUGCCAGAAAAAUUGGAUGCUGCAGGUAUUGUUCCGCCAUCAGAUUCUUCUACGAGGAAUGGCACUAUAGCAAGAACUCACAAAUUUCAUGGAAGAAUUGGUCGAGGGGGGCGGAUAGUAUUUGAUAGAUGUAAUCCUCUUAUGCACUCCUCAACUGAUAGUGCCACGUCUUUUUACUUGCCACCAAAACCCCGCACAUCUAUGUACAGUUAAAUUGUCCGAGCUCGAGCAUUAUUCGUUAGGGAGCCAAGUGUAAUUAUGCUCCGGCUGAUAUUUAUGUAGUUAAAUUGAAUACUUCCAUUGUCCGAGCUCCAGCAAUUAUUUGUUUGGGAAGCCAAGUGUAGUUAUGCCGAGGGCAAGCAAAAUACUGGGCUUGAUGAAUCUUUUGAGGCUUGGUCACAGGUAUUUCAUGCCGUGCAUCAUCUUGCCUUAUUCUUUUUAAAGAAAUGACCUUGCCCUAAUUUUCCUUUCAAGUUUAAACUUAAUGAGCUUUUAUUACAUCCUUUAUUGUUGAAAUGCUUGUGCUAAUCAUAGUAUUUUCAAAAUUUCCGCGCCCCAGUUGAUUAUAAAUUUUGUGUGAAUAUUACAAGAUAAAACUUACCUUUAAAAUGUUAACGAACCUGUAAGAUUGGACUUCUCUUUAAGACCUUGAAUUAAGUGGAGGGUGUUUUGGGGUUAAUAAACCAGCAACUAUGCAUAUACUUGGCCAAUGAGGAAUCCUACUAGUACAGAAUAAGGUUGCACAAGACAGUUGAAUAGAUGACGCAAUGGAGACGUCUCUGUAUCGACUCAAUUCAAACUAAUUGUACAACUUCAUUUCUGAAGGAGUCACCAUUUUUAAUCCCAUUUGGAGAAUGUGUACAUCAGGUGCUAAUGCUUAUAAUGAAAAUGAUGCACUAUGUUUUGUGUUUUUCGAAUUUAAAAAUGUGUCUAAUAGUGUAUUUUCAGAAUUGGACUAUAAAAAUAAAAAUAGAGAAAACGAUAUAAAAUUAAGGUAAUACUGGACGAAAAAGUAUGGCCAAGGAAGCAGUAAUAUUUGGUGCAUUUCAUUUUUUCAAUAAAAAAAUGAAAACAAAAUUUUCAAUAUCUAUUCAUCAUUUUUUGGAAAAAAAAAAAAAAGCUUAAAGAAUAAAUGAAAGGGUGUUUUAAAACAAAAAUGUGAUUGGUGUUUGAAAAAUGACUGUCUCGGUUAGGUAAAACAGUCACAUAAUCAUUUUUUUUUAAAACACAAACCUUUUGGUUCAUAAAUAAUCACACAAAUUCUAAUGUUUUAUCUAAAAGAGAGUCUGUGUAUCUCAAAAGAGACAUGUGUGACAUUUUCUAAAAACAAAAUAUCUUUAUAGUUAUUUUGCCAAAUCACGUGUUGCCUUUAGAAAUAGAAUAGAUUUUAAUUUGCCCAAUUUACAAUAAAAAUCUUUAAUUUAUCACCUAAAAGUAAUUUACCCUAUUUAUUAUUAAGAAGAUUAAAAAAAAGAAAAUUCAUCAAUACAUUCCUUAUUUGCCCCUCGUCUUUUGGACGAAAAUGAAGAAUAAAUUGAGGUUUACAUUGAGAGCAAAUUAGAGAUUAUCAUUUUAUUUGGGAAUGAAUUGAAGUUUAUCCUUAGGAAUAAAAAUUCAAGAGAAGUACACGAAAAAGGUAAUAAUUUUCACUUUUUAUGGAGUAUUUGGAUAAGGGUAUUUUGCACCCCACUAUUUUUAUAAAUCCACCCUAUUUCUAGAAACUAAUUGCAAUGAAUUCACAAUAUUUUUUAAAAAAUACAAAUUAAUAAAAAUUUUGUAUAGUUAAUAAGUUAAAUCCUUCUAUUGAUUUUCUUCAUGAGUUCUUUGACCAUAUUUAAUCAUAAAGUUUAAUACAAAAUUUAUUUUAGUAUUUUAUUAUUAUGAUAUAUAGCGACUAAAUUACCAUAAUAAACAUGAGUUAUUGUAUCUAAUAAUUUAUGUAUCUAAUUUUGUGGCUUAUAAUAUAAUAUUUUUAAAUAAAAUCUAAUUGUGAUUUUCUCUACUUUAAUGUGUAAAUAACAUAAAAUUGACAUCCCAAUAAUUUACAUGAGUAUCAUGCCCUAAAGAUACUACUUUAGUUUAAUUAAAGAUUAAAACUUACACUAGUAAAGUAGUAUUAGAAACAAUGAGUUUGGUAUAAAAUUAGAAAAAUAUUUAAAUUAAAGUAAAUUCUUAAUAGUUUUACCUUAUAAGGGUAAAAUAAUCAAUUUAAACUUAUGACAAAGCAAUCUUUGUAGCUAAAUAUAAUAAAAUAAUCUAAAUCAUAAGAAAGUAAACUAAAAUAAAUCUAGUUAAUUAACUCUACAAAGUUCUUCUUUGUUUGAAAAUUUUAAAACAUAACAUGUAUGUUUUAUAAUUAUUUUUUAAAAAACGGGAUGAGUUUGCAAAAAUUAUUAGACGGAAAUACCAUCACCCGGAGUAUUUUAGUAAAGCACCUGAUAUUCGUUUCAGACGAAGUAUUAUUAUUUUGAUUUUUCAGGAAUAUCAGUAAAAUUUUCAUAUAAUAGUGGAAUAAGCCCAAUAAAUAAUUGUAUAAAAAUUUUUUGUCAUAGCCAUAGUCUCAUUGAGGUGGAAGCAGGGGAGGAGUAGGCCAAGCCAGGCCACAGAAAAUAUUCAAUUGAAAAAGCAAGAAAGGAAUGAGCGUGUGGAUGGUAAGGGCUCGGGCUCCCUCUUUCAUUAUUCCAAUAACAACACUCAGGAUUGGAAAUGGAAAUGGAGAUGUAAAAGGCCGGCGCUUGCCCCUAUUGAGCAAUAAGAAUUGGCAGUUUCAGUUGCAGUUGGAGUUGCAGCAGAGGAAUGAGGAGAAGAAGAAGAGACAAAAUGUUACCAUCAGUUAUACUAACAGUAGCAGUGGAGGGGAUUCUGCUUCUGCUGCACUGGAAUUGGAGGUUAAUGAGACAAAAUGUUACCAUCAGUUGUUCAGAAGCCAACUGUGCUUAUAGGUAAUUCUGUUGGAAGCCUAGCUUGUGUUAUCGCUGCCUCAGGUAUAUUUAUUUUAACUUCCCCUUGGACAUCAGAUAUUUUUCAACUUGCUUGCAAAGAAACACUUGUCGCUAAUUAUCCUUUUUGGUAUCUAUGGUUUACGAUAAACCUGCUAUAUUUUCUACCAUAAGAAUCCAGUCAAACCCUUGUUCGAGGGCUUGUUCUGUUGAAUUGUGCUGGUGGCAUGAACAACAAGGCAAUUGUUGAUGAUUGGAGAAUCAAGCUAUUGUUACCAUUGCUUUGGUUCAUUGAUUUUUUGUUGAAGCAAAGGCCAAUUGCUUCUGCUAUAUUUGAGCGUGUGAAACAAAGGUAUUUUCUCUUCUCUCUAUUCAGUCCAUUGUUCAUUAUCCCAAGACACUAGAGUCAAAAUUAAAAAAAAAAAAAACUCUAUGAUGUGCAUAUCUUGGUGCUGUAGGGAAACACUGAGGAAUAUUUUACUGUCCAUUUAUGCAAAUAAGGAAUCUGUGGAUGAAACACUGGUUGAGGUAUUAAUAUUCUCCUCUUAUAUGCCAUUUUAACCUGUUACAAAAAUGGCUACUCAGAAUUCAUGAAUAAACCUCAAAACUGCAGAUCAUACGAGAGCCUGCCAAUGAGGAAGGGGCACUUGAUGCAUUUGUUUCGAUUGUAACAGGCCCACCAGGGCCGAACCCAGUUCAAUUGAUGCCAUCCAUCUCUGUACCUGUACUAGUUUUAUGGGGUGAUGAGGAUCCAUUCACACCCCUCGAUGGACCUGUUGGUAAAUACUUCUCAUCUCUGCCUUCUAAACCCUCAAAUGUGAAGUUAAUUGUAUUGGAAGGAGUAGGACAUUGCCCCGAUGACGACAGGCCUGAGUUGGUCCAUGAAAAGAUGCUUCCUUGGUUGGCUGAAACAUUUAAUUUCUGAGGAAUUACUUUCUCAUCAGCAAGUUUUAAUGAGCAUUAUAUAUUAUUCCUAUUGUAAAAAGACAAAACAACUCUUGUAUUUAUGUUGUACAUAUCAAUUCUUAUUCAACCGCUUGGUUAUCUUUUGGCGCCGAAAGGAAUGUUGGAGAAACUGAUCUCUGACAAGUUGUAGAAGCUCCAAAUUGAUUCAAGAAAUGUAUCAAAUUAUUCAAUAAAAAAUAAAAUUCAGCACAAUAAUAAAGAAUAAUGAUUUAGUAAUCCAUAUUGCUCAUGUCAAUGAUAUGAGAAUGAUAAGAUCCAAUUUUAUACAUGAAAAAGAUACAAUAAUCUAAAUCGAAAUAUAAGUUCACAGGCAUCCUCAAUCCUUUCCUUACAAGUCAUUUUUGUAAAUAUAAAUGCUAACCAUAGACGAUACCACAUCAACUAUGCAAUCAAAUGCACCAUUCCAAAUAUGGAAUUGGUAGAGAUACUUGAAAAAGUGCAUACAUGUUUAAGCAAAUGGAUUCACAACUCAGGUGAGUUGAGUGAAAAUGACACCUAUCUCAGUCUUCUUCGUUACAGUUGAACCAUGUGCUUGGGUCUUCCAUUGACGUAGGAUCUGGGGUGUGAAGUAAAUGGAUCCCACAUUUUUUCACCCCGCAGCACUGGCACUCCAAAGGUGGAAAAACAUUAAAGUGGACAGCCUCAGGAAUGCAAUUGCAUUUCCAAAAACCAUUAAAAUCAUCUUCGCAGAACAGAUAGUACCCCAAAUGUAAGUGAUCUGAUUCUACAUAAUUAACUCUGCUCUGAGAUAAUCGUGUGUCAUGCGUACCACAAUCUUUGGUGGUUUUCACUUUGAGCUCAAAAGAAAAUGAAAACCAUCUGCCACAAUCUACAUGACGGUCUGAAAAUGCUAAAAUAGCACUAAAUGCAAUGCCCUGCACUCUGCUAUUAUUGAAGAAAUCUGCCGGCAUCUCCAAGGUUAUAAAAGAUCCCACACUUUGAAACUCAAACCACUUUGGAAUUUCAUUCCCAGGUAGUACUAUAUGACCUUUGC
RNAcentral lists this long non-coding RNA (68543 nucleotides) under Citrus maxima (pomelo). Its description in RNAcentral is "long non-coding RNA (CMAX_LNC002393)". The record is from RNAcentral. Lineage: Eukaryota; Viridiplantae; Streptophyta; Magnoliopsida; Sapindales; Rutaceae.